UCUUCACAUAUCAAAUAUUUCCAUAUCGAUACAUAUGACACUUUUGUUCUGCCAAUGUGAUGGAGAGUGAGUGCGAAAAAGAAACUUUCAUUUUGAGUCUCCUAUUAUUUAAUUUAAUAUUAUUAAAUAUUGUAUUAGAUUGAAAAAUAGGAACUUCGAAUCUUUUUCUGAUAUACAUAAAGUAAAUAGAAAAAGAUUCGAAGUGGUGAUCUCUCUCCUCUUCCUCCAUGUUGUAACAAUAAGAUGGGGCUUCACAAAUACUCAUCUGAAUGGGUUUUACAUCUUCUUGUUUGCUCACAUUGAUCAUAGAAGCCAAAGUAGCCAAAGCAUCCGCCAUCUGGUUCUCAUCUCGCAGUAGAUAAUUGAAAGUAACAUCAUCAAACUCAUCGAUUAACCCCAGCACUUUGCUCUGAUAAUUAAUCAAUUUGGAGUUUCUUGUCUCUCAUUCACCUCUAAGCUGGUAGAUCACUAGCGCAGAAUCUCCAUAUACUUUUAACACCUUGAUCUUGCAUUCUAUGGCUGCGCGGAGUCCCAUGAUGCAUGCUUCAUAUUCUGCCAUAUUAUUUGUGCAAUCAAAGUCCAAUUUACAAGUAAAUGGAUAAUGAUCUCCAUUUAGGGACACCAAAACUGCCCCGAUUCCAUUAUCCACAGCAUUUGAUGCCCCAUCAAAGUUCAAUUUCCAUGGGUGACCUUUUGUAACGUCCUCUUCAGUAGCUGCCACAUACAUUAAUUCUUCAUUGGGGAAAUCAAAAUUCAAGGGCUCAUAAUCUUCUAGAGCCCUACUGGCCAGAAAUUCUGCUAUUGCACUCCCUUUCACGGCCUUUUGACUCACAUAGACUAUGUCAAAUUCAGAAAGCAAAAUUUUCCACCUAGCCAUCCUCCCGUUCAAAGGGUUUGACUCCAUCAUAUAUUUUAGGGGGUCCGACGUCGAGAUUAACCAGAUCGUAUGGUACAACAUGUAUUGCCUCAACCUCCCGAGCUGCCCAGAUUAAAACACAACACAGUUUCUUGAUUGGAGGAUAUCUCAAUUCACAUUCAGUGAAUUUCUUACUGAGGUAAUAUAUCGCAUUUUUCUUUUCUUCCUGAUUCAUCAUGCUGACCAAGCACACAUCCCAUGGAGUUAUCAAAUACUGCUAAAUAUAGUAUUAGUGGCCUAUCUGAGCUAGGAGGUGACAGCACUGGGGGAUUUGACAAGUACUUUUUAGCCUUAUCAAAAUCUCUUUGGUAUUCAUCAUCCCAUUCUCUUGGGUUCUGCUUCUUAAGAAAACGAAAUAUAGGGUCGCAUUUCUUAGUUAAUUGUAAAAUGAACCGUGCAAUGUAAUUUAGUCUUCUUAAGAAGCCUCAAACUUCUUUUUGAGUACGUGGUGGGGACAAUUCUUGUAUAGCUCGAACUUUGUCUGAGUCAAUCUCAAUUCCCCUUUCACUGACUACAAAGCCUAGUACUUUCCAGAACUAGCUCCAAAAGUACAUUUUGCUGGAUUAAGCUUUAACUAAAAUUUUCUUAAUCUCAAAAACAGCUUUCUCAACACCUUAAUGUGCUCCUCUUCAGUUCGGGAUGUGGAAAUCAUAUCGCCGACAUAAACUUCAAUCUCUUUAUGCAUCAUGUCUUGAAAUAAGGUCAUCAUGGCUCUUUGAUAUGUAGCUUCAGCAUUCUUCAGCCCAAACAGCAUCACUUUAUAACAGAACGUGCCCUACAAGGUUAUGAAGGUAGUUUUUUCCAUGUCCUUAGGAUGCAUCUUUAUCUGAUUAUAUCCCGAGAAGCUAUCCAUGAAGGAGAACAAUGAGUAGCCUGUCGUGUUAUCCACUACAGUAUCAAUGUGAGGUAAAGGGAAGUUGUCUUUUGGGCUAGCCUUAUUUUAGUCUCUGUAAUCAACACACAUUCGUACUUUCCCAUCUUUUUGAGGAAUAGGUACAAUUUUGGCUACCCACUCCGAGUAUUUGACCACCCGCAGGAAUCCAGCAUCAAAUUGUUUCUUGACUUCAUCUUUUAUUUUUAGCACAAUGUCUGGCCUCAUCCUUCGAAGUUUCUACUGAAUCGGCUUGAAAUAUUCUUUUAUGGGAAGGUGAUGUACUACAAUAUCGGUGCUCAACCCGGGCAUAUCUUGGUAGGACCAUUCAAAGACAUAUUUAAAUUCUUAAAGUAGCCCAACAAGGUCUCGCUUUAUUUUUUCGGUUAUGCAUGCUCCGAUUCUUACAGCUUUUCCUUUUUCCAAAGUCACCACCUCCAUUGUCUCUUUAUGCGACAGAAUUUGCUUUUCCUUUUAUUCUACCAUCCUUAACAAGCCCGAGAUAAGUCACAAUCUCUGUCAUCUUCAAAGUCUUGAGAUCCCUCUAAACACAUGUCUUGCUCAAAAAGUGAUUCUGAGUCAGUAGCAGCGUCACUCAUGACAUUGAUAUCCUGGGACCUAUUAUAGGUACAAAAAUAUGCAAAGAAUGAAUGAAUUUAAGAAUUAUUAUUUGCAUGGUAUGAUUAUGAAGGAAUGAUUGAAGAAAGUUUAAAAGGACCAAGAUAAUUACUUCGGCGAAAAGAAUAAAACAAUUACUUGUGGAAAGAAUAAAAGAAUAUUUGCUAAAAAUGAUAGCGAAAAUGUAUUUCAUUAAAAUAAUGAUGUUUGAACAUGAGCCUAUUUCACAAAGAAAUUCUUCUUGCCUCUAGGCUUAAAGCAACAAGAUUGUUUCGAACAGUACUCUGAGUAAGGUCUAAAUACUACAGGAAUUUCUUCCACAGCCCUAUUAUUCAAACAUUCCCAAGUAUACAAGGAUUUGGAAACUUUUACUCCCUAGUUCCCUUUUUGGAUAUAUCAUUCAGAUUCCCCGAUAUUACUUUUAGGCUUUUGGCUUAUUCAAGGCAUCGCAACUCUCUUGCCCAUACUUUCAAAUAUUUCAUUUACUUCAUUGUCAGAGCAAUUAGGUUCUGAAGAAUCGUCAAACUUCACAAUUCCCAUUUCAAUGAACCUUUCGACAAACUUUUUAAAUGUAGUGCAGUUUUCAAUUGAGUGCCCCGUUAUUCCCACGUGGUACUCGCAUGAGCAUUCUCAUUAUACCAUUUUGGGAAUGGAGGUUGUAUAGGUUCCGAAUAGAAUGAAGGAUCUACAUGCACAUCAAAAAGAUUCUGAUACAAUUCCUUAUAUGACAUCGGAAUGGGUGCAAACCGGGGCCUUUCUGUAUGUGACCUCGAGUUGGAUUCUUGCCUUAUAGAGUCUGGAUAACUAAUAGUUAUAGCCCCCGGCUGACUACAUUGACAAAUUUAGAAGGCAUGCUCACGAUGUUCGCUUCAUUUUCCUUGUUCCUCGGGGUUGACCUUUUAGCACUUUCUCCCGCAUCUAUCUGCUCGCUUUUUACCGUAUUUUUGAUCAUCUAACCAGACAUUACUAUAUCUGAAAAGCUCAGAGUAGCACUUCCCAACAUAUAAUUAAUGAACGGGGCUUUAAGAGUAUUGAUGAAAAGCAUCGUGGUCUCCUUUUCUAGAAGAGGCGGCUGGCUUGUGUUACUAUCUCUCUCCAUCUUUAGGCAUAUUGCCUAAAGCUCUCAUUUUGCUUCUUUUCCAUAUUCUGCAAGGUAAUUCUAUCGGGUGCCAUGUCUGUUACAUGGCUAUACUGCUUCGUAAAAGCUUGUGCUAAGUCCUUCUAUGAAUUGAUUUUAACACGACUCAAUUGAUUGUACCAUUUAGCUGCUAACCCGAUCAGACUGUCUUGGAAGCAAUGGAUUAAUAGUUGAUCAUUAUUAACAUAUCCUGUCAUCCUUCGACAGAACAUUGUGAUGUGAGCUUCAGGACAACUAGUCCCAUUGUACUUUUCAAACUCUGAAAACUUAAAUUUUGGAGGGAAUACUAGAUCGGGGACCAGGCUCAGAUCCUUAGCGUUAACCCCAUAAUAGUAGUCAACAUUCUCCAUUGCCUUAACUUUUUCCUCCAACCACCUAUAUAGAUCCUCGAGUUGUUUUGGCAGUUCCAUCUUUACUUUUUCCAUUUCGUCCAAAUCAGGAAAUACAACAGUGAUUGGAUUGUCCCACGGAUUGAAGCUUGAGCCUAUCGGGUAAUUCACUGGUGUAGAGGUACUGACUUAAUAUUGCUGAGAUCUGAUAGCUAUGGGUACACCCUACGGACAUGUCUGAGCAUUUUUGGGGGUGAAACCCGGAAGGUGGAGAGACUCCUUAUUGUUCUCUCCAGCAUUAAUCAUGGAACUUUUUCCUUUUUUUAGGCCCUUUAGUUAGCAAUUGGGCAACUGAUUCAUUAUGUUCCUUUGAGACUCUAGCACCUGGUCUCUCAUAUCCUAUAGAAUCUUCGUCAAAUUCUCUUGCAUUUGUAUUUGUAGCUUGUCUUGCAUCUCUCACUAAAGUUGUUCGAGUUUUUCCAGCCUUUGAUCCAUAUCUUUUGUCUUAGCACGGGUAUCGUAACGACGCUUGGUUGGUAAGUUUUUAUCGAUUUACAGAUUAACUGAAAUGAUUUCAACUAAUUAGGGACCCUUUCAUGAAAAUCUAAUGCAAAUGAUGCAAUGAUGCAAUGCAAUACGAAAUGCAUAGGAUGAAUGCAAAGGAAAUAAAGGCAUUGAUUUUGAAUUCAAUUCCAUUAGAACAACUUUUCUAGAAAAAAAAUUCCUUUACAUAAAACGGAUUACGUAUACGGCCUUGCUUUCAUGUUCCAGGCGAAGACACUGAUCCCCUUUUCUUCGUGAAAGUCAAGUCUCACAAGCUUCCAAUAAAUGCCUCUACUAGCUCCUUUUUGCUUGAUCCAGGCCACAUCUUACUAUCCUCGCAAUGUUGAUUAGCUCCUUUAAGAAAGUCAGGACGCGAGGGCUACUGAAUAAUCUUUAUCGGCUUGAAUCCUUAGGUAAAGUCUUGUUUUCCUCAGCGAACUGUCAGCCUUCUUCUGUCGUGUUUACUUGGACCAUAUUCAGACAACCGUAUUGUAAUCCACUUUAUCAAUAAAUUCAUUUUCUUAUGACAAACUGUUCUUUUUAACAAUCAAAUAUGAAUCAACACCUCCUUUUUAUGAUGAUGUAAUGCAAUGCAGUCAUAAACAAACAAAAACAAAACACAUUAGUAUAGAAAUAAAUAACAAAUAAAGUUCCUAUUCGGGUGACCACUAAAUUUGGGCAAGGUUCUACCUAAGGUGGGCUCUCAAGGUUCACUAAAUGUGGCUCAGUUCUAAAGAUAAGGUACCUGAACUAGCAGAUUCCUCAAUCCUCACCCAUUAUAGGCUCAUAUGGAUCGAGUUUGGUUCAGGGGAAUAUAUUUCCCUAUGAUCAUGUAGAGAUGAAAAUCGCACGAAAUCAUAGGUACAGAUGUAUCCCGGAAGCAGUCCACUAGCCCAUGCAGAGGUGGAAACCUCACGAAAGCAUAGUUUCUUACUCCCACUUAAAGGUAUAACCACAACGGUCAUGCAAUGCAAUGCAAAAGUACACUACAAGACUCGAAUCAACAAUCAUGCAAACGAAUGCAACAAAGAAUCAUGAUUUUCAAAUCAAAUUUUCAAUUUUAGACAAAAGGACAAAAAAUAACCAAUUUUAUGGCUUGACUCUCUUGUUCAGUCUCCAGUGGAGUCGCCAAGCUGUCGAAACCAUUUUUUUUGUUUUUUUUAAUUUGAAAACAACGGGGAUCGACUUUUGAAAACAAAACAUGGAGUUGCCACCAAUCCUUUUUGUUUAGGUGUGAUUGGAUCACCUAAAAAAACAUUUUAUUCCAUUGAAAUCAAUUUUGGCCUACGUAAAUUUGAGAAAACGGGUUCGGGAGCUGGUUACGAAUGAGGAAGGAUUAGCACCCUCACUACGCCCAAAAUUGGUACCAAAUUGAUUAAGUACUGUCCUUAUGUCUAAGAUUUAAAAAUAUUUUGAAAUAUAAUUCCUUUUAAAACAUUCUAAUGGCUCAAGUUGGUCGUCGAAAUUCUCUUGUUUCAAAGGAAUACAGCAUCACAUCCAACACAAUAGGACACGAUCCUUUAUACCUUCAAAACCACGAUCAAUUCUUGGCUUCCAAAAGCUCAUACGUUAAAAAUUACAAAAGGAUGCUCAAUUAUUUAGUCCAACGAAAAGUCAAAACCCAGCACGGUAGGGCACGAUUGCUCGAAUUUCCAAACACUGAGCAUUACCUUAUUUUAGAAUUUAGGAAAUACAGAUGAAAUUUCAAAGGAAUAUUUGAUUAUUUUGGAGAAAUGGAAAAUCGAAACCCAGCACGGUAGGGCACGAUUCAUCGAAUUGCCAAACAUCAAACAUUGCCUUUGUGUUAGGAGAUUUUCAAACAAACAUUUGUAAAACCGUCUCAAAACGCAUUUUACCAGGUUCGCAUGCGGUACAAAAACAAUGAAACCAAUAAAACUGGCCCAAAUGUGUUGGAGAAGAACGCAUAAUAUCAAGCACAAAAUGAAUAUACAUGAACAUAACAUUACAUUGUUGAAUGACAAAGAUAAUAAUUCGGACAUGCAAUCUGAAAUAUACAAUGACGAUAACUUCCCAACAUAUUCAAGCAAUACUAACAAUCAAAACCAAAUACUUAUAUACAUAUAUAUACAUUUUUUAAUAUUUGCAUAGCAAAUUAAUAAAAUAUAAAGCAAUUUUUUUUGAAUGAUAAUAAAUGAAUUUAAAAUAAAUGAAGAAAAGAAAAUUUGAAAUUGAUCCAAUUAUAUAAUUUUAACCUAAAUUAUAUGUGCAAAAAGUCUAACAAAGGGCCAUGCACCGAUAAAAUUAAAAAAAAAAAAGAAUACAAUAGAAAUAAGUGUAAUAACAUAUGGACAAGUUUUAAAACAAAUAUUUUGUAAGAAGAAAUUAAAAUAACUGAGAUACAAAAUAGUUUAAAACCGCAUGUAUUAACUUAUUGGCAACAUACAUGAGAUGAAAAACUUAAUAGAGUUAAUAUAUAUAAUAAUAAUAGGUGAAAGUGUUAAAAAAAAUAAAUAUAUAUAUAGUAAAAAUAAAAUUUUAAAAGCAAUAAAUUAUAUAUAAAUAGAUUUAAAAUAUAUAUAACGAUAUAAAUUAUAUACAAAACAAUAUAUAUAAAUAUGAAUAAAUAAUAUUCAUAAAAUACAAAUAGUUUAAUAUAAAUAAUAUAUGUAAAAAUAAUAAUGUAAUAUUUGAAGCAAAGAAUAUUCAUAAAAAGAGAAUUUUAAAAUAAGUUGAUUGUAUAAUAAAACAAAACGAAAAUAUACAAAAAAAAAAUGAAACUAAAACAGUGAAAUCAAUAAAAUAAUUCAAAACAAUAUACUAAGAUAAUAAGUCAAAGAAUGAAUGAGGAAUAAUUCAUAAAAAUAAAAAAAAUAUAAACUAAGAAACUUAAUUGGAAUAAAACAAAAUCAGAAGGAUAAUUUACAAAUUAAUCAAAUUGUUUUAACGUGGACUAAUUUGAACAUGGACUGCAAAUGUCCCUAAUCCAAAACGCAGCGUUUAAACGUGGACUAAUUUGAAGCAACACGCAAAUUACAAGGAAAAAAUUGAAACCAAAGAGAUAUAAAUAAGACUUAAUCAAAUGACGGUGCAAAUGGAAAGGAUUGAGCGCGCAAAUUCCCCUUUUAGAGCAAAAACGUGCGGAUUCGACUAUGCGUCGGGUCGACGCGCGAGCUCCCUCAUUCCCUAAAUGGCGCCAUUUUAUUCCUUUUAUAAAAGCAAACAAUUCCUCCCAAAAAAGAGAAACAAUCGGCCCUUUUGAAAUUGAAACCCUAGCCCCCUGUUAUUUCCCUCAAUCGACCUUUAAUCUAGCCUCUUAAGCGUCGAUCCGCCACCAUGAACGGCGACCAGCGUGCACGAGCCUCAGGGUUACUUUUUCAGCCUUAAGAUUCCCUCUAUACCUCGAUUUCAAUGGAGUAGAAGGAAUCCCAUGGCAAUUGUAAGGUAAGUUUUUCACUUCCACUUUUUUUAUAUAUUUAAAUGCAAUAACGAAAGACCUCAAACAAUAAACUCAAAGAAAACUCAAAGAAACUUAAAGAAACUUAAAUCAGAAAUCACCUUUAAAAAAACUUUGAUGGUUUUAUUUGUAUUCUAUUUUCAUCCAUAAUCCCAUACAAUCAAAGUCCAAAUGGUUUUAUAGCCGAACGAAAAAAAUAGAGAAAAAUACAAAAUUUUGCUCGUUUUCUUUUGCUUGCUAUUUUGCUGUGUUAUUUUUUUUCUUCAUGUAGGUACGGAGGAGGACGUGGAGGCACGAGUGGCGCUGGGGCGUACAAAGGUCGUACGUGGGAGCGUACGGAGGCUGGAGGCUGUGGCACCAAGGUGGAAACCCUAGGGUUUCUGUGGAUAAUUUGGUCUUGGGCCACUUGGGCCCGAUUUGUUUUAUUUGGGUAUUGGGUUAUGGGUUUGUUUGGGUUUAGGGUUUAGGGUUUGUUUUGGUUUAGGGUUUAGUUAGUUGUUGGGCUAUUGAAAUUUGGGUUGGUUUUAUUAUUGGGCUUGGUGUAAUGAAACAUUUGGACUUUUGACUUGCUUUGGUUUUAUUUAUUUUUGUUGUUUUGGUUUAUGACGGGCUCAGAAUUGGGCUUUCUACACUUACAAUUGAGCUUUCAACUCUUUUAAUUCUGUUGGAGCCAUUCUGUACGGAGCUAUCGAUAUCAAUGUUGUUCCUGGUACUAAUUCAAUACCAAAUUCAACUUCUCUGAUCGGUGGCAAACCCAGUAAUUCUUCUGGAAUUACAUCCGAAAACUCACAAACAAUAGGUAUAGAUUCAAUCUUUGAUUUAGACACCUUAGUAUCUAAUACGUAUGCAAGGUAUGCAUCAUUGCCCUCUUUCAUAUAUUUCUGAGCUAACAUAGACAAUAUCACAAUAGGUAAUCCGAAGAAUUUCACCGUUUUGAAAUUUCAAUUCGAUAGUCUUUUGUCUACAAUUCACAACUGCAUCAUGCAGAGUUAGCCAAUCUAUACCCAGAAUUACAUCAAACUCAUCGAAUGGUAAAAGCAUCAAGUCAACCCAAAAAUAGUAACCCCGAGUCAUCAAAGGACAAUUCUUACAAAUUUUAUCAACUAAAACAGACUUGCCUAAGGGGUUCGAUACUUUAAUUACAAAUUCUAUAGACUCAACAUGUAAACUCUUUUUAAAUACUAAAUUCAUACAGAUAUAUGAAUGGGUUGAUCCAGGGUAUAUCAAUGCAAAUAUAUCAGUAUCAAAAAAAGAAAAGGUACCGGUAAUAACGUCUAGCGAUGAUGCCUCCUCCCGUCCACGGAUAGCACACUACAGGAAAAUAGGGUUUUAGCGGCAUUUUUGGUAAAAUGCCGCUAAAAACAGAGCAAUAGCGGCAUUUUUUUGUUAAAACACUGCUAAAAAUAGAGCAAUAGCGGUGCUUUUGGUAAAACGCCGCUAAAAGUCGGAGCAAUAGCGGCGCUUUUGGUAAAACGCCGCUAAAAACCAGAGCAUUAGCGGCGCUUUUGGUAAAACGCCGUUAAAAGUCAUAUAACCCCUAAAACCCUAAACCCUAAAAAUCAUGAACACUGAUCUAUAACCCCUAAAAUACUAAACCCCUGAACCCUAAAAACACUAAACACUAAACUAUAACUUCUAAAACCCUAAACCCCAAAAAACAUCACAUGAAUGUUGAUGUGUAUAUACAUAUAUAUUAAUGUAAAAGCUUAUGUUCAUAAUAAAUUAUGGAAGCAAUACUUAAUAUUGAUUAAAUUUAUUUUUGGUUUACGGUUUAAUAUUUAAGGUUUAAGGUCUAUGGUUUAGGGUUUUAUGGUUUAAGGUUUAAUGGCCAUGGGUAUAUAGUAUGUUAAUCUCAAGUGAAUCAUAUUCAAUAAUUAAAUCCUAAACCCUAUAAUUAAUUAUUGUUAUCGAUAAUAGAUAUCUUGAUUUUGAUAAAAAAAUAUUUUUUAUAUAUUAAUAAGGUGUUAUAUUGUUUAAUGGAUUGAAGGGAUAUUUUGUGGAAAAUAUUUUAAAUGAUAAGUUUACCUUUAAAUUUUAUUAAUAGUUUUUUGUUUAUACUAUUUUAAUAUUUAUCUAUACUGAUUAAUCAAAAUAUAUAUUUAUUUAUACGAACGAAAAUUCUCUGCACUCAUUUGUGUCUCCACGUUUUUUAAUUGUAACUCAUUUUCUUUUUAAAAUAUAUAUUGUGUCUCCACGUUUUUUCAUUUUCUUUUACACAAUUAUUGAUAUAACAUUAUUUUAUAUUUAUAUAUUGCAUGGAUGCAUAAAUAUUUAUAUUUAUUCAAUAUAAAAAUAUAUUGAUGUAUUUAUUUUUUUAAAUGUGUAUGAUUAAAUCAAAAUUAAAGUUUCAACUAUACAUUUAAACCACAAUUAGAAUUUCACGUCUACAAUUACACAUUACAUCGAAAUAAAAAAUAAACUCAAAAAUUAAAAAUUAAAAAUUAAAAAAUUAAAAAAUUAAAAAAUUAAAAAUUAAAAAUUUAAUAUUUUAGUCCAUAUUUCAAUUAAAAAAUUCAAUAUUCAAAAUUUAAAAAAAUUCCAAAAGAGAAAAAUAAAAAAAUAUGUUAAAUAUAAAAAAAAUUAAAAUUAAUCAAUAGUUAAAACGCCACAAAAAAUUGAGUUAUAAUGACGUUUUUAAUGAAAACGCCGCAAAAAAAAUCAAAAUCCCCAAUUUUUUAAUUCCCGCUCGUUAGUCCCUAAAUCCCCCAAAUAGCUCUCAAAAUUUGCCCCCAAAUUUCCCAUUUCCAGCAACACCAAGUCAAUACACCUACAACAAUCACACUUGUUUAUCCUUUUCAUUUCACUGCACUGAUUUCACCCACCAUAGCUACUCAUUUUCUCUCAAUCUGUUACGGUUUCUUUUAAUUCCAGGCUUUCAAGAAAGCACUGAGCCUGCUCCGAAAAUGCUGUGAGAAAGAGGAUCUGUUGGUUUAGGAUAUAACUUUUGGUUCAUGAAGAAGCGACCCCUCCGCAUCAAGAUAGUCAAUCGCUGCUCCUAGAACUGGGGGAAGACUAAAUGGGCGAAAAGAAGACAUUCCGGAGGCGAGUGAAUCAGGCUCUGUGCCAGUCAAUCUAGUUGCCGGUUGAUCUCCCUCAGGGCGAGUUGCUAUUGUUGCUUCCUCUCUCGUUCAAGCGGCAUGAAGCAAAUUGGUCCCAAACUGUAUUAAGCAAAUUGGCUGGAUCUAGUAAAAGGAGGGUUCAUAGCAAAUGUUUAGUGUGCUGAAGUCUAGUGCCGAUGACAAAGGAGUUUUUUGCUGAAUAUUUUAAGAAAGCAAAAUUCCAAGAAGAAACAUGUUCAGUUAUCUAAACAGUUCACCUUAAUUUGUUGGUUCUUAACAAGUUUUGGUGUUAAUUUUGACUGCACAUAUUUGGAAUUCGGUCAUGCUGAUUUUGUUUUUUCUUUUUAAUAACACUAGAAGCCAACAGUUAACCUUACUGUUCUUAUACUUACACGUCUAAUGGUUGCCUCUUGCAUUUCAGGCACUUUAUGUGAUGAAUCCUAAUAAGUUCAGGGCAUGUGAGUUUCUUAUACGGUUCCAUGAAUGAGAGCAUGGUGAUAAGAUAAAAUUUUAUUAGCUUUUUCUAUAAUUUUUACAGUUUCUUUUUUGUAUAAAGUUUGGUCUUCUAAAAAUCUUUCCUGUCUCAAACUCAAUAGGUAGUCAAUAAGCACUAAAACUGAUUUUUCACAGUUUUUGUCUUCUAUUUCAGGUAUGUUAAGCUUCUCUUUUACCCUUUUUUUAUUUUCUGUAAUCUUUUGCUACUUUGGGUCUCCUGUAAUAUAAAUUUUUUCUAUCUUUAUUCAUUUUCUUAAACAAAAACUAUUAAUUUAAGCAUUGAAGAGUGAUUGAAAUGCAAACUUUGCUUGUUGUCCCUAGUUGCAUCGGCAAACCAUAGGUGCCUUAAUUGAGUAUGCUAUCAACAAUAGUUUAUAUCCCCACUGGUAGAGUCUUUCCAAAUCAAGUAAUUUGGAUUAGAAUUGAGAUUGAAAAGUAUGCAUGAAUUCUUUCCAUUGGUUCAACUCCCAUUAAAAUAAAUGGAUGCCCAUGUUCCAACUCCACUACUUUCCCAUCUUAAAGCCAAGCAGAGGAAAAGCUUGGACCACUAGCAUUGUGAUGUCAAGAAGCAGUUGUAAUACUUUGGUUAAAUGGAGUUGCCUCGCAGAGGUUGGAUCAAAUUAAAUACGGAUGAUUAAUUAUUAUUCAUGUUUGAGUGUUAAUUACUUACAGUAUAUAUUUAAAUAUAAAUAUUAAGUUGUAUUAGCCUUUUUUUUCUAGUUGUAUGUGCAUGUUAUUUUUUUAAUUAAAAUUUUGAUGAUAUUUUAGAUUUGAAAUUUCUGCAUCAAGCAUUGUCGUCUUGCUAAUGUGUUGUUUGUUUAAUGUUGUGGAUGAUGCAAAGGUUUGUGAGAAGAAAAUAAGCUUUUCACUAACAUUUUAACUUGAUUUUUAAUCCUUUUUCUCAUUUAUUUUUCUAAAUUUGUAAAAUAAUAUUCUGAUUGGAAUAUUAUAGUUAUUGUAUUUUAGGUGAAAUUAUGUGUUUGAAUUGGAUUACUUAUCAGCUUGGGAGCAUAAUUUUAUUAGGCAAAAACUAUGGGUGAAAGAUAAUUACCUUAGCUGAUUUGUAGACUUGUGGAUUAUUACCUCUUUGAAUGUUGGUGCAAAUUUGUUUCUAGUGCUAAUAUUUAAUUUAAUUUGAGUGUGAAUUUAGUGAUUAUCGAGUUAAUUACUUAAAUUUAGUGAGGAGUGGAAAUUUAGAAUCUCUGAUUGUGUAUUUGAUUGGUGGUUAAAUAGGUGAUGUGUCGGUCAUGCAUGAUGUAUCUGUUGAUCUUGUCACUAAUGCUGUAGAAGGUUCCUAAUUCAUUUUCUUAUGUUGAUUUUUUUUAAAAACUUUUGGCAUUGUGUUAAAAAUAUUUCUGCAACAGGUGUUUCUAGCCCACGGACUACAGCUUGAGAAAAUAAACAAAGCUUUAAUAUUUGAUUGUAAAUUGUCUUGCAACGUUUAGAUGUUUUGUUGUUUUUAUUAAUUAACACUAGCAAUGAUCUUGAUUUUCAAAUUUCAACAUCCUAAUAACAUGGUUUAUCAGGUUUAGGUAAGAUCAAUCCUUGGUGGAUUAAUCUUGCUAUUUCGGGUUGGAAGAACUGUAUGAAAGAAAUCAGUUAAAUUGCUGCUAUUAAUGAGGUCCGGAAGUGAGUAAGUUGAUGUUUGAAAUAUCUUUGUAUGAUGGAGUGAAUGCUGUUGUAUAUUGUUGCUCAUUACCGAAUUAAAGUUGAAACUAAGCUAAUUAAAUGGUGGAUAUAUAAUUUGUUGUCGAUUAUGAUGGAAAUGACUAUUAAAUGUUUAAAAUUCCUCUUAUUUAAUUGAUGGCUGCUGUUGUUUAAAUGCUGCAAAUUGAAGUGUUUAAAUGCUGUAAAUUGAAGUGUUUAAAUGUUGUAAAUUGAAGUGUUUAAGUACUGCAAAUUGAAGUGUUUAACUACUGCAAAUUGAAGUGUUUAGUUGCUGGAAAUUGAGAUGUUUUAUCGCUGUAAUUGAGUUGUAUAAAUGUUGUUAAUCGAGAUGUUAAAGUGCUGCAAAUUGAAGUGUUUAAAUGCUGUAAAUUGAAGUGCUUAAAUGUUGUAAAAUGAAGUGUUUUAUGUACUACAAAUUGAAGUGUUUAGUUGCUGGAAAUUGAGAUGUUUUAUCGCUGCAAAUUGAAGUGUUUAGUUGCUGGAAAAGAGAUCUCUUUUCCUGCAAUUUUGCAGUUAACGGAUUUAGGUUUCAUGUUACAUUAUUUUGUAUGUUGUAGGUACACAUUAUGCACAGCCUUUUCAAUGACUUCUGCAUUAACAAACUAGAGUAGUGUACAAAAAUCCUUUAGACACUUUCAGACUAUUCAAAUCUAUAAUAUUUUUCCCCCCUGUUUGUAGGUUCAUUGGCAUCUUGUCCUGAUGAGAGUGUAGUUUAUGAAGCUUUAAACUUUACAUUGUCCUCCGGGGUAUUAGAAUUCCUAGUUCAAAACUUAGCAAUUUGUCUUUUAUAAAAGACCUUUCAAUUUUCAGUGUUGUUUAGGUUUGCAAACAAGAUGCUGUAUUUGGACUUGCUGUUAGUUUUGAUUCUAUAUUUUUAUUUUUAUUUUUAUUUUAAUAUUUAAUAACUUGAGUUCUAACUUUUGAAUUUUAAUUGUGUUAUUAAUUUAUUAAUUUAAAUUCUAAAUUUGAAUUCAUCAAAUUUUAUAUUUAAUUUUAAAGUUAAAAUUUUCAUAGAAAAUUUAAUUUGAUAAUGAAUUUUAAUAGAAAAUUUUUAUAUUUAUAUCAUGGAUAUUAUUCUCCUCAAUAUUUUGAUAAUGAAUUUUAAUUUUUCAUGACCUUUAUAAUCUUUUAUAAUAUAUAUAUUUUUAAAUUUCAUGACCUUUAGCGGCGUUUGUGGGAAAAGCGCCGUUAAAGGUCAUGGCUUUUAGCGGCGUUUGUAGGAAAAGUACCGCUAAAGGUCAUGACUUUUUAGCGGCGUUUGUGGGAAAAACACCGCUACAUGUCGCGACUUUUAGCGGCGUUUGUGGGAAAAGCGCCGCUAAAAGCCUAAAAAAACACCGCUAAAAGUCAGUUUUGCUGUAGUGGCAUGAGCUCGGGCAGGUGUUUCUGCCUCAGAUCUCAUAGCAGAAUCUCUCGUAGCACCUUGAUUACCACUCAUAUUUCCAGUGUUUCAGGGCGGUCUACCUCUAGUAGUAGUAUUACUUACUUUCAUCUGUUGAUCUCUUUCAGCUACAAACUUUUGUCCCCGAAGAUAAUGAUCAAGAGAUCCACAUUUAAAACAAGGUCCGCUCACUAACCUACAUUCACCAUUGUGUCGCUUAUUACAAUGCUUACAUUCAGGUCCAGCAUUUCUAACACUACCUACACUGGUAAUAGAUGUCGUCUGAGCAUUAGAGCUGAAAUGUCUCGCAUCUCUAUCUCUGAUUGAAUUCCUCAUGGAAGUAGUAGAACGAGGAUGAUAUUCUCUAGAUUUCUUUGAUGCUGACUGAUGUUAUUUGCCCACAAAUCUCUUUCUAAAAUUUCUAGCCUCAAAAUCAGCUUUUCUUUUCUUUUUGCAAAGCUCUUCGACUUUACAAGCUUUGUCAAACAAGACGACAAACUCUUUCAGCUCAAGAAUUCCAACUAAAAGUUUGAUUUCUUCAUUCAAUCCAUCCUCAAACCUUUUAUAGAUUAUAGCUUCAGAAGAAACACAUUCACAAGCAUAUUUGCUGAGUCGUACAAACUCUUUUUCAUAUUCUGUUACCGACAUAUGACCUUGUUUUAAUUCAAGAAAUUCUUUUCUUUUCUGAUCAAUGAACCUCUGACUGAUGUAUUUCUUUCUGAAUUCAACUUGAAAGAACUCCCAAGUAACUCUUUCUCGUGGAACUACGGAUAUCAAGGUAUUCCACCACUGAUACGCAGUGUCUCUCAGCAGUGAUAUAGCAUAUUUUAAACAUUCUUCAGGUGUGCAUGAUAGUUCAUUAAAUACCCGAAUCAUGUUCUCAAGCCAAAACUUGGCUUUCUCAAGGUCAUUGUUAACAGUGGCUCUGAAUUCCUCAGUCCUGUGUUUCCUUAUCUUAUCAACAAGUGGCUUAUUCAAUCGCAAAGGAUCCAUACCAUGAGGUAUUACAAGGAUCGGUUGGGGAAUAGAUGGGGGUGGAGGUUGCUGAACAGACGGGUUCGUAUGAAUGUACUGUGUGAACCACUCAUUCAUUAUUUGAAAGAAGACUUCUUUAGCCUCACCUCCAUGACUACUCGUCACAGGUGUAGAUUCAUAAGGCGCUGUCCCUUGACCGGGAGCUGGCGCGUUACUCUCAAGGUCAUCUGCUACAACUCGUUCGGGAUCCAUUACUAUAAAAAAACAUAUUUGAAAAUGUCAGGAGUCAUCACACUAUCAUAGUUUUAGAUAUGGAAUAUAUAUCUAGACUCACAUAAGCUAUCUUAGUCCUAUAAUCGACUAAACCAUAGCUCUAAUACCAAUAAAUGAAACACCCCUAACCCAUAUUCGUCGUUGGAGUAGGGUUACGAGGUAUUACCGAUCAAUACACAUCACUUAAUAAACAUAUCUCAUACAUUCAUACAUUCACACUCAAAUACUAUUUAACACAAUCAUCUUGUCCCUUUAUAAGGCUUACGAAGUCUUAAACAUGUUUUAGAAGUGGUUCGAGACUAAACUGAUAACAUAUGAAAAUUUUGGAAACUUAGAAAAAUUUCAACAUUUCAAGGGUCACACGCCCGUGUGAACAAGCCGUAUGUCUCACACGGCUAGUAGACACGCCUGUGUCUUAGGCCGUGUGAAAACAGGGCAUACAUACUAACUUGCAUCACACGGCUGAAGACACGCCCAUGUGCCAGGCCAUGCCAAUCCUGUAGGUUAUACUGACUUAUACAACACGGCCAAGUCACACGCCCGUGUGCUAGGCCUGGUGCCAAUUAGGGGCAUACUGACUUGUACCAUACGACCGGUCACACGCCCGUGCGUGAGACCGUGUGGAGCGUACUGACUUCAUUUUAAUAUCAACACCAGUGGACACACAGCCGUGUAACAUGACCGUGUGUCAAACACGGCUAAGACACAUGCCCGUGUCCCUACCCUUGUGGACAAACGUAGGCUAUUUGCAAAGCCAUUAUGCCACCCUAUUUUCAGAUGUAAACACAAGCAUAAAUUGUAACAUUUUUACAACCCAAUAAGCAACCAUUCCAUAACAUUUCAUGCACAUAUGAUACACAUUCCAUAUAGUAUUCAAUGCUUAACUAACAUAAUAUAUUUUUCCAUUCAUAAGCUUACCAUAACAAAACACAUUUGCAUAUUUCCAUUCCAUCAACUACUUGCCAAAACUUUCCAAAACAUAACCUAAACCAUAAUCUCAAGUAACCAUAUCUAUCAUCUUUAUAACUAGCCUAUACAUGCCAUAUUUACUUACAACGAAGUUCAAAAGUACCAAUCGACAACUGGAUAGUGUGAUGCGUAACUCUGAGUUGUCUGAAACAAGUGAUCUAUUGAACCUUUAUAAAACAUGGAAAAAGAAACAGAGUAAGCUUUAUAGCUUAGUAAGCCCAUAUAAUUCAGAAUUAAACUUACCAUUUAUACAAUUAAGGCAAUAAAUAAAGUAUACCCAACUCAAUUUCCAAAUGCCUAAACACAAACAUUCGUCAACAAGUUAGCCAUAUAAGUACAUGUACCAUCCAUUAUUUCAAUUCAAUACUCAAUACAUUGCAUUAUACCAAAUUUAUAUAUCAUGUACAACAUUAGUAACAUUUCAUUUUCGAUCAUGUAAACAAUAAUCCAUUUGCAAAUAAUAGCUCAUCAAUAUAAACAGUAUUUAUGCCCAUUGAGCCUAUUAAAAUGUCGAGGGAUACUCAGGUGAUAUACAUUACUUAUAAAUCAGUAAUCUAUCAAUUCAUUAUCAUUUUUCACUCUUUCGAGCUAUGAACAGUAAGCUCCUCCUGAGCUAAUGGACAGUAAGCUCUAUUGAGCUAAAACGGUAAGCUCUGACGAGCUGAAAAUAGUAAGCUCUUAUGAGCUGAAACAGUAAGCCCCAACGAGUUGAAAAUAGUAAUCUCUUACGAGCUGAUAUAUCGGUAAACUCAUUUAAGCUGCAGUGAGUCUGAAACACAUGCAGGAUCUCAACUAAAAUGGUAACCCUAGUGACAUGUCACUGGUAUCCUAUGUAUUCAUACUAUUCAAACAGGGCUCGGUAACCAUCAGAUUAUAGAUAUUCAUAUUCCAAGUAUAUCAAUUAUAUACAUACAUUUCAAAUAAUUACAAGUAUUUAAAAAUUUGAUUCUAAUUAUACGAACUUGCCUCGUAUAGCUCGGAUAGCAAAUAUCGACUAUUCGUCCAUUAUUUUUUUCCCCGAUCUAAUUCCGAUCUCAACUUAUCUUGAUCUAUAUAUUAUCAAAUUCAGUACAUUCAGUAUUCAAUCUAUUCAAUUUAGCCCAUAAUUCAUAUUUAGGAUAAUUUACACAUUUGCCCUUAAACGUUCACAUAUUUUCAAUUAGUCCUUAUCACAUAAAAUUGCAAAUUCAUGCAAUUUAGUACAACCUAUGCUUAGCCAAAUUUUAAUGGAGUCCCUAGUAGCCCAUAUCUUUUAUUUAUUCACAUAUUUAACAACCACAUUUCACAAUUUCACAAUUUAAUCCCUUUUUGACAUUUUUGUCAAAAAUCACUUUACAAUACUAGUUUAACUAUAAAAAAUUAUUCAAAAUCCAUCAUGAACUACCAAAUUACUCAAACAUUCAAUAAUGACAACAUGAGAAAUCUUUAGAAAUUUCAAAAUCUAAGGUAUGGGCUAGGUAGAAUACGAAGCAACGAUUACAAAAACAUAGAAAUCAUCAAAAAUCGAGCUAAAACCAUACCUUAGUUUACUCAUACAAUUACCGAAACUUAUUCUCCUUCUUUAAUGGUAUAUUCGGCCAUGGAUGUUGAAAAAUAAGAAAGAUGAUAGCUUAUUCAUCUUUUAAUUCUUUUACAUUUUCUAUUAUUAAUCAAUUUACUAUAUUAACCUGAAUAAUAACCUUUAAACAUUAACUAACCUUGUCCAAAAAUGUCCACUCAAUUAUCAAAUGGUUUAAUUACUAUUUAAGGCCACCAUAUUUAAAAACCAAAGCUAUUUAACACUUUUAUCUAAUAGAACAUGCAUUUUACAUUUUUCGCGAUUUAGUCGUUUUUCCUGAAUUAAGCAUUCAAAUAGUAAAAUUUCUUUACAAAACUUUCACGUAAUUAAUCUAUCAUGCUGUAAACCUUAUUAAAGUAAUAAAUUAAAUAUUUUAACUUCAAAUUUUUGGUCCCAAAACCACUGUUCAGAUUUGACUCAAAAACGGGCUGUUACAGUCUCUAGCGCCGAUCUUGUAAGUACUUAUGGACUUAGAAAACACUGUAGUUAGAACUCUCUAAAACUGUACUGAGUUAGUUAGAGACUAAAACCUUUGAAAUACUUCUGAACUUUUGAUAACUGAAGAAUAAAACAUCUAUUAAUAAACGCAGAAAUUGAUGCAUAAAAUUUUAAAAUGUAGAUCAAAUUCAAAUUACGAUGAGCGUAUGAGGAACACGUGGUCGAGGUUUUCAUGGGCGCGGCGAGCUCUAUAGGAGGCUGAAGCUGAGUCUUCCUCUCUUGGCAGUAUAUCGAAUCUAGAUACAAGUGAGACAUUGGUUUCACCUAUUACUAAGAUUGGGUCUCAAAGCCGCUUAGCUGGGGAUGACGCACUAUCCCAAUCUAUGUUGAGAGCUUUGGAGAGGAUCGCUGGACCCCAUUCUAGAUAUAGGGGUUGUGGGUUGGUAACUAAAUUACUCCAGUCCACUGGAGCUGAGUUGUUUAGGGGCAUCACAAGUGUCGCCCCUACUGUGGCCUAGUAUUGGUUAGAGGCCACUCAGAGAAUAUUAAACGACAGUAACUGCACUUAUGAGUAGAAACUGAAUAGUGCAAUUUCUGUGCUUCGCGACAAUGUUAUCAGUUGCAGAGGGUACUUGGAAUGACGAAAAUAUGUAGGUGUACACAGUUGCAACAAGUAAUAAAGUAACAAAUAAAUGUCGAGUUAUCCUACCCACAGGGACUGUGAAAAGAAUUAUUUAUGAAUGCAAUUUAAAACACUUAGGUGAAGAAAAAUAUUUUGAUUUGAGGAGGUGAUUAAAAGCAAAGAUUUUUAACUAAGUAAAACAAAUAAAGAGAAAAUAAAAGUUCCAAGGCAUGAUUUCAGAAGAUGAUUUUGUAACGCCCUGAAUUUGGGCCUAGAAAUAUUGGGCCUUGAGUAUGGGUCCCUAGGGAGGUUGUAUAUAAGUAGUUAAUUAUGAAAUGAAAUGACACAAUUGUGUAUCUGCUUCAAUGGUUAAGUGCUCUGUGAAGUGUCUGAGAAAUUUUGGGUUCAAACCUGGGCCUUAGCAAAAAUUUUGGUUUUAAGUGAAAAAAACCCUGGAUGCUUGGAUGAUGGCCUUUUAAAUUAUUGAGUUAAUUAAAUGACAGAAGGAAGCAUGUGGUUUAGUGGUUGUGGCGUCAUUAAGGUUGCAAGGGAGCCUGGGUUCAAGUCUUGGCUCUUGCAAUUUAUUUUAAUUUUUCUUUUAAAGGAACCUAGACUUUGGCCUAUAGACCUUAUAAUUAAUUGAGGAUAUUUUGUGACACAGAAAGAGCCUGUGGUAGAGUGGCAAGGUGGCGUGUUGUGUAACUAUGAGGUCUAAGGUUCAAGUCCUGAGAUGCGCAAUGGAGUAUUUAUUUUGCUGUUUAAGCUGUGUAGGAGGUGGAGAUGGACUGGAAGUCUGUGGUUGAAGUGGUCAUAAAAAAAGAAAAAUAAGGAAUUUUCCUAAUGGUUGAAAGUAAUCCCACAUCGGGAGGCUAACAUAAGUAUUGGUGAGAAGCUGGAUUUAAAUAGAGUGAACCAGAUGAGUUGGUGAGGGGGGAAGUGAUUAAGACUCAAUGCAGGAUGUGCCAAAGUUGGUGAUCGUGGACUUCGACGCGUUCUCAUAAACAAGUGUGUAUCCACGCCCUUCUUUGUUGGAAAUCGGCAAAAGCCGAAAGCUGAAACUUUGGCAUUUGAGGCCUCACGAGCGUGUGACAGCUUGUGGGGUAAAUCGAGCCCAAAAACCAUGGGCGAUAGACUAUAGACGAGCGUUCUCGUGUACUGGGCCUUGAUAGGCCUCAACGGGCCAAAUGGGCCCAAUGGGCUUGCUUGUGUAAAUCUAAUUGAUAGGUGGGAAGUAGUUGGGCUAGUCAUGUCAUGUGCAUGGCAUAGGCCGUUAAGGGCUUCGUUGGGCCAAAAUGGGCCGGGAGGGCCCAAUGGGAUGUGGGCCCCACACAAAUUAAAUCCAUGGUAAGUGAUAAAGUUUGGACUGGGCUAUGUAGGUCACAUAGCCGUAGCUAAGUGGGCCACAUGAGCGUGUGGGCCCACUUGGGCCGAAUAAUGGGUCUUAGGCCCAUUUACAUCAUUAGGUCUGCUUAGGUUACUUAAGUCGCUCGAGGCAACUGUGGACCUUCCGAGAGGUCGAUUAUCUUUACUGAGACCCCAGAGGGUAAAAUGACCAAAAUACCCCUAAAGGGUAAAAAUUACUAUUCUACCCCUAAUGGGUGGAAAUAACUGUUAUACCUUACAGGUAGGUUAAUUGAUGAGUGUAUGAUAUAUGCAUGACCGUAUCUGAGUAUGAAACUUUGCAUACACGAAAUAUUAUGACAUGACAUACUGCAUUGGGGUUGGGAUUUUGAUUUGGAGGAAGUACUGUUCUGGUGGCUUUGCCACGUAUUCUGAUAUUAGUAGGUGCGCCACGUUUACCACUAUUAGUAGCUUUGUUGCGUUAUUAGUAGCAGCUAUGCUGCGAUAUUGGUGAAUUGGCUGGGUGGGUCGAUUUAAUCCCCACAUGGUGAGUUGGUUGGUAUGGGUGGUGAGCAAGAUGGAUUGGGUUGGGUUUUACACUUGUAUUGUAAUUAUACUAUUUUGGGCAUAGGCCCACAUUGUUAUUGUAUAGGGUUAGGCUCAGACUGUACUGUUAAUGAACAGAGCUCAGGCCCAGACCGUUACUGUAUGCACUGUUACUGUUGACUGAUAGGGGAUUACACACUGAGUUUUCGUAAACUCACCAUUCUUUUAACUGUGCAGGUGAUCCCUAGCCUUAGAUGAUUUAGAGCCGCGAGGGACUCAGUGAUGGCUACACGUCCGCAGAUUGGUUGUUAAUAACUCAAUUUCUUUACGCUUUCAUAUUUGGGUUUUAUUUAUGUAAUAAGGCCAUUUGGGGGUUUUUAACUUUUAAUGGACUUUUGAUUACUUAUAUUAAACUGCUAGUCUAGGAAAACUCGAGUUUUCAAACUGUUCACGGUUUUUUAAAGAACACGAGCUUUAAACAACAAAGUUUUCAAAAGAGCUUGCGCGAUUUAAGGUGAAUUAAUAUCCCAAAGGCAAAUAUUUUGAGCAAACGUAUGUGACGAGAUGAUUUGCUAACCCCGUACAAAAAGUUUUACUUUUAGAAAUAAACUUUUACCGACAACUCGAUUUUUGAACGACGCUUUGGUGCAACACACCAGAUUCGGUUGUAGAGCCUAGGCUGGGUUUCGGGUGUUACAGAGUUAAUCAAGAUGACAUAAUUGUGUUAGAUUAAUUACAUUUCUUAACUUAGAAUUAUUAAACUCAAGUUCAUGUUGUUACGAAUAAAUUCACAACAACUUGGUAAUUUACUAACUUAUUAACAUACUUACCUACCAAAAUCCAUUUAUCUCUUGACUAUAUCUCUAUGUCAAUUCAACCGAUUAAACAAAAUUCAAUAAGUAAAUGUGUUAAUGCAGAUACAUACAUAUGAAAUUAAAAUAAUCUCUUGUACAUAUCUCUAUGCCAAUUCAAACAAUUAAUUGAAUCUUAUAAGCACAUAAAAAAUUACGUGAGGUAACAAUAUAUUUCUACCUUGAAAUAAUUUAAUCACAAUAACCAUGCAAGUUAUGCAAGACUAAUGUAUUGUUAGAUACCAUUGCUAAUUUAACCCUUAGCUACCUUAGAUGAUUAAAAAUGCAUUGAUUAAGUAUUGUGUCAAUUAAUUACAAUUUUAGUUUAUUUAAAUAAUUAAUUCAUUAGUUACCCUACAAUUGUAAUGCAACUAUAACUUAGUCAUGGUUUUACUUAAUCAAACAUCUUAUCCAGGCAUAUAACAUCAGAAACACAAUUUUAGCCGAAAUGAAAGCAAGACCGUUGUUUUUAUAACAGAUUAUUAAUGCUCAAAAAGUUGAUAAUGAGAUAAUAGCAAAACGAGCUUAGUGUGAUUUGGAUUUUGAUUCUUAAUAUCGAAUAGAUAAUGACGAUUUUUUGAGAUUUUGAGGUUGGUUUUAUGUUUUGAGAAAUUUAAAGUUAAUUCAAAUGAUUUUGAACAAAGCUUAGAACAGAUGUUUAUCUGUACAUCUAGGUAGUACGAAAAUGUAUAAUGAUCGAAAACAUCAUUACUUGUAACACCCCUCGCCCGUAUCCCUCGCCGGAAUAGGGUUUGAGGUGUUACCCAACUUAAACUCAGUCAAUCACACAAAAACCGUGCUGAAAAAUUUCAAUCAAUUUAAAACUUUUCUUUUCACAUGUAAUCUGUCCAUAUAUGGGCUUACGAGGCCCAAAACAUCACUAGCCAACAUAGGCCUAUUUUCAUGGCCAAAACACUUUAUCAAUACAAGCCACCACCUUUGGCUAAAUUAUAAUAUCAUAUACUCAACAUUAAAACCCUAUAGAUGCCAAAAACUCGAAAUACUAGGAUUUACUUACACCAAUAGCGUGAACUCGACAGUGUGAUAAUAUCUUCGGUGAACUCCAACCCGAGCAAGUAACUGGAGCCAACAAUCUAUAAAACAAAGUACAUAGCAAACGGAGUAAGCUUUCAUAACCUUAGUAAGUUUUAAGCAGUGCAAACAAUUAAAUGCAAUUAUACUUCGAUUAUUCAAUUUCUCAAAAGGCCAUUUUCUAGGUAUAUUACCAUUUGGCCGAAUAUACACAAGCACAUAAUGUAGAUUCAGCAUUCUUAUAACAUUUAAUUUGAAUUCAUAAAACAUAAAUAAAUCAAAUACUUUCACACCUUGACCGAAUGUAUCAUGGUCAUAGAUAUAGUUAUAACAUUUAUUCACAUAUAUAUCAUAUUAUACACUUGUGAUUCCAUUCAAAUCGAACUUACAUAUGAGUACAUAGUGCGUACCUGGCCCACUUAACGUAUUGAAUGUAUUCAUUUGUCAAACCAAUACGAGGUGCCUUAACCUUAGACUUUUAUUCAUUCACCAGCAUUUCGCCUGCUAGGCUCGAGGCCUGAUAUCAUUUCACCGGUAUUAUAGCCUGCUAGGCUCGAAAGGCCCGAAUAAUGUCUCACCGGCAUAAUAGCCUGCUAGGCUCAAAGGCUCGAAUAUAAUACCAGCACUAGGCCUACUGGGUUUAACCCGGAUAUAAUACCAGCACAAAGCCUGUGGGAUUUAACCCGGAUAUAUUACCAGCACAAAGCCUGCGGGAUUUAACCCGGUUAUAUUACCAGCACGAAGCCUGCGGGAUUUUAAGCCCGGAUAUCAUAUUUAGAUAAACAAUUCACCUGUUCUUUCCCACUUUCAUAACUUAUACUUCAAUCAUGUAUAACUGAAACACAUAUCUAUGAACAAAGAUUUUCAUCCUCUCAACCACAUAGGGUUUAAUUGCACAUUGGAACACAUAUCUUAGUACAUCAGUUAAUAGUAUCAAAUUCGACUAGAUAUGCUAGUCACAUACGGCUCAUAACUUUAAUUUAAUGUUCAUUCAACACAAAGAACAUAUGUAUAUUUUCACUGAAGCAUCAUCUCAAUACAAUACAUCUUGCUCACUAAUUCGUACGCAACCAUUCAAAUUAGCAAUUAUAAGAUGGUUCCGCACAUAGUCCAUCCUUAUCGAUAAUUUAUGAUGGUUUUACCCUUACUCACAUAUAUGACGUAGGCAUUUUCACCUAUGCUUCUCAAUUCACAUUCAUGAUUCAAUUCCAAUCGAUUUAACAUAUAUAAGUACAUAUCGUAUACCUGACCAACUUAAUGUAUUGAAUGAAAUCGAUUGUCGAUUUAACACAAGGUCUCAUAGUUGAACAUAAACAUGAAACCAUUUCUUAUAUGUUCGAUUCACAUCAAUCAUCAAAUUCAUUUAAUUCACAUGUACUUAAUUAGGUUGUUCGUACCUGAAUAAUUUACUUUACGGAACGAAUCCACAUAUCGUAUUAGCCCAUAGUCUUAUAGCACCACACUUUUAAUAGUUUACCGACAAUUUGCCUGCUAGGUAAUAACCUGAUUUCAUCACCGGCCAUAAGCCUGCUAGACCUUUAAAUCUGAUGUCAUUUCAUCCGACAUUACGCAUGCUAGGUUUGAAACCUGGAUGUUUAUUAUAAUGCAUAACUUAUAUCAUCGAUCACUAACAGUUACCUCAUCGAAGUUCACAUUUAAUCACUUUACCAAGCCACAUUUGGCUACCACAAAAGACUCAUAAUAAUAAUUUUAUACACAUCAUGGUUUCCUUUAGAUAUUUAAUAAUCACAAAUCGUGAUAUCUCUGCCAGCACAUAUACGGCAUAGUUUAUUCAUUGUAACACUCAUUUAGUGCAUCAAAUUUCCAAAUCCAAUUCAACUCAAGCAUAAUAGCCAUAAUCGGCUUAUAGCCUUAAAUCAUUACAUAUUCGGCACAUUAACUAAAUAAAAUUUACAUUCUCUUUGCCAUAUUAAUUUAACUCUUAGGCAUAUAAAAAGGAAUCAAGCUUAAACACUUAAGAACUUACCUCGAAUGUUGCCGAAUGAUUACAGUGGCUAUUUGAUUACUUUCUCUUUUUCCUUAUCCAAAUUUGCCCCUCUAUGCUCUUGAGCUUAAAUUCAACAAUUUUAAACUUAGUCAUUAUUCGACUAUUCAAGCAUCACUUUCAAAAUAUAAUAUAUAUGACUUCCACACCUACAGAUCAUAGUAAGCUUAUAAGAAAUCAAUAAGCAACUCAUUAACAAAUUUUUUUGUCAAUGUUUACCACAUAAACAAAAUUUUACUGUAAGCUGUUGUCCUGAGCAAUAGUCACUAAAUCAUUUAUAACUAGAGCUACUAAACCCCAAAUCAAUUUACGUUAAUUUUCCCUGAAAAUAAACUCAUAUAUCUUCUACCCAUAAAAUUUUCAGAAUUUUUGGUUUUUCCAAUCAAUACCAUAUUUUUCUUAAAGUUUCCCCUAUUUCACUGUUUGACUAAUCUGAACACUCUUCACUACGAAUCAAAUUUCUCAUUGUACAAAAUUCAAAAUAUGUUCUCGUUUAUUUCAUUUGAAACUAGACUCAUUAAGGAGUCUAAUCAUAUAAAUUUAAUCUUAUGAUCAUUUUUUUACAAUUUAUAAUGAUUUUAUAAAAAUAGAACAGAAGAUCUAGAAGUCAUUUUGACCCUGUCCCACAUCACUUCAAAUAUCUCAUUAUCGGAAAAUUUUUUGCUUACAGGUUUCUUUUAUAAGAAAAUAAACUCAUUAAGCUUUAAUUACAUAAUUUAUUCAGCUUCUAACUCAACUUCUACAAUUUAUGGUGAUUUUCCAAAAUCACGUUACUGCUUCUGUCCCAAGCAGAUUUAUUACCAAUUCAUUCUUUCACACAUUCUUUGCAUGCAUGUUAUUUAAACAUGCAUAUCACCAAUCAAUCAUCACAUAUCUAUAAUUUCACUUAAGAAUAAUCUCUAUUUCAUCAUUUUAAAACAUUCAACAUCAAAAUUUCUUUGAUUUUCAUACUAUAGCCGAAUGUAUAGCUCAUUAAAAAGAAAUUUAUUCAUGUUCCCUUUCGACCAUAGUACACACAUCAUGUUAGCCAAUUUUCCCACUUAGCAUCUAAUGCACAUAUAUGCUCAUUUGUUUGGCUCAACUUCACCUAUCUACCAUUAUUCAUCAAAAGAACAUGAAACAACAGCCAUUCUCUUUAACAUCUUCCAUAGUCGAAUACUCAUAUCACCACCAACUUCAAAAUUUUGGCAUGGGCUAAGUAAGGGACUUAGUAUCUAGCUUAAACUAUGCUAAAAUUUCAAAAACUAACAUGCAUUUCUUACCUUAAUUCUAACUCAAAGGUGACCAAAUGGCUGAGCUUUUUCCUUUCUUCCUCUCUUAGUUUCGGUUAUCAAGAACAAAGAUGGACAAGCUUUUUCCCUUUCAUCCUUUUGUUAACUUAUUUAUUCUUAUUUUAUGAUAACAAAGCCAUUAAAUUGAUAGUGCUAAAUUUAAAAUUCACAUUCUAUUCAUUCCCAUCAUGAUGGCCGGCCACUACACAUAAAAUGGGAGGUUUGACAUGCAAAUCCUCCUAUUUUGCUCUACAAAUUAUUUGGCCAUUACAAAUUAGCCUAUAGCAUUUUCAGAAAUUUUCACAUAAGUCCUAUUUCAUAAUUUCACUCACAAUUGACAAAAUCAAAGCAUGAAAUUUUCACACAUGCACUUUCACAUGUAAUAAUCACAGAAUAUAACAUUUAAUUAUUUUUGUGACUCAAUUUUGUGGUCUCGAAACUACUUUCUGACUAGGGUCAAUUUAGGGCUAUCACAUUACUGGUGGUCUGGAAUGAAAAGAGAUAUCUCUGACUUUGUUUCGAAAUGUUUGAUCUGUUAGCAAGUUAAAGCUGAAUAUCAGGUGUCAUCAAGUUUGUUACAAUUGAUUAUGAUUACAGAAUCGAAAUUAGAUAGAAUAAUGAUGGAUUUUGUUUUGGGUGUGCCUUUAUCUCCGAGAAAGAAAGGUGCGAUUUGGGUUGUAGUUGACCGAUUAACGAAAUCAACUCAUUUUAUUCCAGUAUGAUCUGAUUACUCGCUUGAUAAAUUAGCUGAGUUAUACAUUUUCGACAUUGUAAGAUUGCAUGGGGUGUCAUUGUCUAUUGUGUCAGAUAAAGAUCCGAGAUUCAUUUCACGAUUUUAGAAAAACUACAAGAGGUUUUAGGUAUGAAAUUACACUUCAGUACUGCUUUUCACCCACAGACAAAUGGUCAGUCUGAGCGGAUUAUUCAUAUUCUCGAGGAUAUGUUGAGCUGUUACAGUCUUGAGUUUUAAGGUACGUGGAAACAGUAUCUGCCAUUGAUUGAAUUUUCUUAUAAUAAUAGUUUUCAAUCGAGCAUUAACAUGACACCGUACGAAGCCUUAUAUGGUAGAAAAUGUCGUACACCUUUGUAUUAGAAUAAGCUAUGUGAGAAUAAGAUACAUAGGGUUGACUUGAUAAAAGAGACUGAUUAGAAAGUGAAAGUGAUUCGUGAAAGUUUGAAAGUAGCUUCCAAUCGUCAGAAAUCAUAUGCAGAUUUGAACUGAAAAGAUAUUGAAUUUGAGAUUGGUGAUAAAGUGUUCCUAAAAGUGUCUCCGUGGAAGAAAGUGCUUGGUUCGGUGAAAAGGCAAAUUGAGUCCUAGGUUCAUCAGACCGUAUGAUAUUAUAGAGCGUCUCGGGCUAGUUGCGUAUAGAUUGCUAUUGCCACCUGAAUUAGAAAAGAUUCAUAAUGUGUUUCACGUAUCGAUGCUUCGAAGAUACAAAUCUGAUCCCUCACAUGUGAUUUCCCCAUUUGAGAUAGAAAUUUAGUCUAAUAUGACUUAUAAAGAAGAGUCAAUUCGUAUAUUGGCUCGCGAGGUUAAAGAAUUAAGAAAUAAGAAAAUUCCGUUAGUAAAAAUAAUGUGGCAUCGACACGGUGUUCAAGAGGCUACGUGGGAGGUGCUAUAAGACAACAAUAUCUGAAUCUGUUCAACGGUAAGAUUUUCGGGGAUGAAAAUCCAUAAGGGGGAGAGUUGUAACAUUCGGGUUUAGACCCUAGUCAGAAUAGUGGUUUCAAGACCACAAAUCUGAGUCAAAAAAAUUUUAAUAUUAUUUUUCGUGUUUUCAGUAUGUGGUUAAGCAUGUGUGAAAGUUUUGUAUAAAAAUUCAAUCAUUUGUGUGCUUAAUUUGAAAAAAAGGACUAAACUGAAGAAAAUAAAAAGUUGUGUGAUAUUUAGUUAAGUGCCGAAUUGAUGUGUCUCUUUAAAUGUGAGGUCCUUAUGAGGUUAAUAGACCAUUUGAGUAAUGGAUGGACAAAAUGCCUUUAGUUAAUUGAAUUUUAAUGUUAUUUAAUUAAGGGCAUAAUAGUAAACUAUGUAUAAAUGAUAUAAUGUAACACCCUGAAUUUGGGCCUAGAAGUAUUGGGCCUUGAGUGGGGGUCCGUAAGGAGGUUGUAUAUAGGUAUUUAAUUGUGCAAUGAAAUGAAACAAUUAAAUGUUUACUUUAGUGGUUAAUGGCUUUGAGAAGUGUUGGAGAAAUCUUGGGUUCAAACUUAGGCUUCAGCAAAAAUUUUGGUAUUAAGUGAAAAAAACUUGGAUGCUUGGAUGAGGGCCUUUUAAAUUAUUGUGUUCAAUAAAUGACACAAUGAGGAAUGUGGUCUAGUGGAACUAGCGUAAUUAAGGUUGUAUGGGAGCCUGGGUUCAAGCCUUGGCUCUUGCAGUUUAUUCUGUUUUUUUUAAGGGAACCUGGACUUUGGCCUUUAGACCUUAUAAUUAAUUGGGGAUAAAAUAUGACACAAAAAGAGCCUGUGGUGAAGUGGCAAUGUGGCGUCAUAGAGUUGGCAAGGAGGUCCAGGGUUCGAAACUCAUGGCAAUCAAAGAGCAUUUAUUUUGCUAAUAGGGGGCGGCAAGAGUUGGUGUUGAAUUUAAACUCUGAUAUCGGAAGGAUCCCACAUAAGAGUGGAUGUGAAGCUGGCUUUAAAUAGAGAGAACCAUGAGGAGAGUAAAGGUACCUUUCUUGGCUGAUCCCUUUCGCUGUAUGGUGUGCUUGUUUGGGUUGGGCGUCGACUAAGAGUGCUCAGAGCGUGGAUUAACUCCAGUGUCUUAUUCUCGCUACUCUAGCUGUAGGACGGCUACUUCGGGCCGCGAUGGGCCGAAAGAGGUUAUGUGGGCCUAAUGGGCCUACGAGCCCAAUUGGAUAAGUUGUUUGAUUGUGUAGUAAAUAUUGGAUUAGGCUAGGUGAAUCUCAUUUUUGUGGCUAGAUUUGGGCUAAAAGGGCCACACGAGCGUAUGGGCCCAUUUGGGCCGAGAAUAGGCUUUAGGCCCAUUCGUAUUGUUAUCCCUGUUUAGAAUACUUUAGUUUACCAAAUUACUGAAAUGCCCUCGAUUUGUAGAAUUACCAUUUUACCCUCAAUUUAUAGAAUUACCUUUCACCCUCGAUUUACAAAAUUACUGUUUUACCCUCGAUUUAUAAAAUUACCAUUUUACCCUUGAUUUACAGAAUUACCGUUUUACCCUCGAUUUACAAAAUUACCAUUUUACCCUCAGUUUACAAAAUUACCGUUUUACCCUCAAUUGUGAAAUUACUAAAAUACCCCUGUAUGAUAGAAUUACCAAAAUACCCCUAGUUUGUAAAAUUACCAAAAUACCCUUAGUUUGUAAAAUUACCAAAAUACCACUGGUUUGUGAAAUUACAGAAAUACCCUCAAUUUGUAAAAUUACCAAAAUACCCCUAAUUUACAAAAUUACAGAAACACCCUUGACUUUCUAAAAAUUAUAAAAAUACCAUUGGUUUACAAAAUUACUGAAAUACCCUUGGUUUGUAGAUUUACCAAAACACCCUUGUAGGAUGAAAUGACUAAAAUACCCCUAAUAGGUAAAAAGACCGUAAAGCCCCUAUAGGGUAAAGUACCGUAAUACCCCUGUAUGGUAAAAUGACGAAUAUGCCCUUAUGUUCCGUAUGACUGAUGUGCUUAGGAUUUACAUAUAUUGAUAUUGAAUUAGUUAAGUUUGAAUGAUAGGUGGUGGUUAUCGUAGGUGAUUGAUUUUGGAAACGUUUCAACUUCAACCCAUAACAGGUGUGUAAUAACCCUCGCAGUAGCUUAGAUUAAUAUUCGCCGAAAAGCCGAAAUGCUAAAAUUUCAGUAUUUCGGGAACUUGUGAUUUUGCCUUUGCUUAAAGAUGCGAUAGAUACGGUAUGAUCGGGGUUUGGAUCGAUUGAGCAAGUAAGAGCACAAUUUUGUGCACGAUGGAAAGUUGGGCCUCAAUGGGCUAAAAUCGGGCCCAAUGGGCUUUCAGGCCCAUUUGGGUAAAACUGAUAGAAAAUGGAAUCUAGAAAAGUUGCAUGUUGACACGGUUAGUACUGUUGUAAAAUUUGGAUUAAGCAGGCCUAGUGGGCUAAAUCAGCAUUCGUAGGGCCCAUUAAGGGUUUUGGGCCCAAAAGCUUGAAUUUGAUAAAGUGGGUUAAAGAUCAUUGUUUAAACACUCGAAAAUAUUAAUAAUUGUUAAUAAACAUAGAAAACCCUGAUAUUUGGUAAAAUUAUGAAAUUACCCUUAUAAUAUGAAAAAUGACUAUUUUACCCUUGUGGGCAAGUGACUGACCUGGACUGUGUGGUUGAUGGAUUUGAUUGUGAAUAUAUGUUGGUGAUAUGAAUGACUUGACUGUGAUUGUUUGAUUCAAAUAUGGGUAUGACAUUCUGCAUACAUGACAUGUUGCAUGGGUUGGGUUUUAUAAAUGGAGGAAGUGCUAAAAGGGCUAUGCCCCAGUUUACUGAAAAGGGCUUUGCCCCAGUUUAUCAAAAAUUGCUUUGCCCCAAUUAUUAAAAGAGGCUAGGCCUCCAGUUAUAUGAUAAAGCAGCUAUGCUGGCAGUGGAGAGUUUGGUUAGGUGGGUUGAGUUAUUCCCCACAUGGUGUGUUGGUUGGUACGGGUGGAGAGUAGCGGAUGGUGGGUUGAGUAGUCUCCCCAAAUGGGCUUGCAUACAUUCAUUGAUAUUUCAUGUGAUAUUGAAAUGGGCCUAUGGGCCAUACCGCUUACAGUAAAGGUUCGACCAGUGAUAUGAUUUAUGAAAAGGCUUCGGCCCAGUAUAUGUCGAGACUAAAUUAGGGCUUAGGCCCAUACUGCUACUGUUUAAGGGCUAAGGCCCAGACUGUACUGUUACUAAAUAGGACUUUGGCUCAGAUUAUACUGACACUGUGUUAUUCACUGUUUGUUUGUUGUUGGGGAUUACACACUGAGGUUUCGUAAACUCACCCCGUUUCUAACUAUGCAGGUAAUCCCUAAGCUUAGAUGGUUUGGAGCUGUGAGGGACUCGAAGAUGGCCACACUACUGUUUCUGUUUCUUUUAAUUGCAAUUAGAUUUCGUUUUGGGUUUUUUUUAUGUAAUAAGGCCGUUGGUGGGUUUUAAGUUUUAAUUUGGAUUGUGAUUUCUUAUACUAAACUGCUAGUCUAGGAAAACUCGAGAUUUCAAAAUGGCAUGAUUUUUCUAAGGAAUACGAGCUUCCAACAACAAAUUUUUCAAAAUGCUUCCGCGAUUUUAAAUGACGUAAUCUACCAAAGGCAAACAAAUUGGUAAACGUUUUGAUGGGAACUGUGGUUUAAUAAUAAAUUUAGAUUCAGUAAUGGAUUUUCACCGGAAAGAUCAAAUUUGAAAAAUGGUUUGAUGUGACGCACCAGAUUCGGCCAUAACGUCUAGGCCGGGUUUGGGUUGUUACAUUUAGUGGUAUCAGAGCCAGAUUACAAAACUCGACUGUGGUAUGGGUAGCAAAAAAUUAUUGUAAUUUUUUUAUUUUUUUUUCAAAAUUAGGGUUUGAAAAGGGUUUUUCUAAAAUAUUGUUUUGAAAUUUAUCAACGAAACUUGACUUGUUUCUGAAAAGAUGUUACUAGAACUGUGGCACACCGAGUCUCCAGCACCAAAUCUGUAAGUUCUCUAACUUUGUUUACUGUUAUAGAUUGAAAUGCUAUAUUGAGAAACCACUAUAGAUAGUAGCACUAUACUGGAACUCUCUAGUUAGAGUAAACUGUAACGCUUGAAUUUAGAUUUAGUAUUUAUUUGGUGUGUGUUCUGGAAAUGUAGAAAUUGGUUGCAUGUGAAAUCUAUCCGCUCCGAUGGACAAAUGUCUUGGGUGUAUGUUAGUAUUAUUAGUAUCAAAGUGUGUAGCGGAAGUGCGGUGGUGUAGUCUAAGAGUGGAAAAUUUCGAGGACGAAAUUUCUUUAAGGUGGUAGAAUUGUAACACCUCGAAUUUGGGCCUAGAAGUACUGGGCCUUGAGUGGGGGUCCGUAAGAAGGUUGUAUAUAGGUAUUUAAUUGUGCAAUGAAAUGAAACAAUUAAAUGUUUGCUUUAGUAGUUAAUGGCUUUGAGAAGUGUUAGAGAAAUCUUGGGUUCAAACUUGGGCUUUAGCAAAAAUUUUGGUAUUAAGUGAAAAAAACUUGGAUGCUUGGAUGAGGGCCUUUUAAAUUAUUGUGUUAAAUAAAUGACACAAGGAGCAAUGUGGUCUAGUGGAAGUGGCAUAAUUAAGGUUGUAUGGGAGCCUGGGUUCAAGCCUUGGCUCUUGCAAUUUAUUCUAUUUUUUUUAAGGGAACCUGGACUUUGUUCUUUAGACCUUAUAAUUAAUUGGGGAUAAAAUAUGACACAAAAAGAGCCUGUGGUGAAGUGGCAAGGUGGCGUCAUAGAGUUGGCAAGGAGUUCCAGGGUUCGAAACUCUUGGCAAUCAAAGAGCAUUUAUUUUGCUAACAGGGGGCGGCAAGAGUUGGUGUUGAAUUUAAACUUUGAUGUUGGAAGGAUCCCACAUUGGGAAGCUAACAUAAGAGUGGAUGCGAAGCUGACUUUAAGUAGAGAGAACCAUGAGGAGAGUAAAGGUAUCUUUCUUGGCUGAUCCCUUUCGCUGUAUGGCAUGCUCGUUUGGGUUGGGCAUCGGCUAAGAGUGCUCAAAGCGUGGAUUAACUCCAGUCUCCUAUCAGGUGUGUAUUUUCUCGCUACUCUAGUUGUAGAAUGGCUACUUCGGGCCUUGAUGGGCCGAAAGGGGCCAUGUGGGCCCAGUGGGCCUACGAGCCCAAUUGGAUAAGUUGUUUGAUUGUAUAGUAAAUAUUGGAUUAGGCUAGGUGAAUCUCAUAUUGUGGCUAGAUUUGGACUAAAAGGGCCACACGAGCGUGUGGGCCUAUUUGGGCUGGGAAAGGGCUUUAGGGCCAUUCGUAUUGUUAUCCCUGUUUAGAAUACUUUAGUUUACCAAUUACAGAAAUGCCCUCGACUUGUAAAAUUACUAAAGUACCCUUGAUUUAUAGAAUCACUGUUUUACCCUCGAUUUACAAAUUACUGUUUUACCCUCGAUUGUGAAAUUAUUGAAAUACCCCUAUAGGGUAGAAUUACCAAUAUACCACUAGUUUGUAAAAUUACCAAAAUAUCACUGGUUUGUGAAAUUACCGAAAUACCCUCAAUUUGUGAAAUUACCAAAAUACCCCUGAUUUACAAAAUUACAGAAAUACCCUUGACUUUUUAAAAAUUAUAGAAAUACCAUUGGUUUACAAAAUUACUGAAAUACCCUUGGUUUGUAGAUUUACCAAAACACCCUUGUAGGAUGAAAUGACUAAAAUACCCCUAAUAGGUAAAAAGACCGUAAAGCCCCUAUAGGGUAAAGUGACCGUAAUACCCUUGUAUGGUAAAAUGACGAAUAUGCCCUUAUGUUCCGUAUUACUGAUUUGCUUAGGAUUUACAUAUAUUGAUAUUGAAUUAGUUAAGUUUGAAUGAUAGGUGGUGGUUAUCGUAGGUGAUUGAUUUUGGAAACGUUUCAACUUCAACCCAUAACAGGUGUGUAAUAACCCUCGCAGUAGCUUAGAUUAAUAUUCGCUGAAAAGCCGAAAUGCUAAAAUUUCGACAUUUCGGGAACUUGUGAUUUUGCCUUUGCUUAAAGAUGCGAUAGAUACGAUAUGAUCAGUGUUUGGAUCGAUGGAGCAGGUAAGAGCGCAAUUUUGUGCACGAUGGUAAGUUGGGCCUCAAUGGGCUAGAAUUGGGCCCAUUUGGGUAAAACUGAUAGAAAAUGGAAUCUAGAAAAGUUGCAUGUUGACACGGUUAGUACUGUUGUAAAAUUUGGAUUAAGCAGGCGUAGUGGGCCAAAUCAGCAUUCGUAGGGCCCAUUAAGGGUUUUGGGCCCAAAAGCCUGAAUUUGAUAAAGUGGGUUAAAGAUCAUUGUUUAAACACUCGAAAAUAUUGGUAAUUGUUAAUGAACAUGGAAAACCCUGAUAUUUGGUAAAAUUAUGAAAUUACCCUUAUAAUAUGAAAAAUGACUGUUUUGCCCUUGUGGGCAAGUGACUGACUUGGACUGUGUGGUUGAUGGAUUUGAUUGUGAAUAUAUGUUGGUGAUAUGAAUGACUUGGCUGUGAUUGUUUGAUUCAAAUAUGGGCAUGACAUUCUGCGUACAUGACAUGUUGCAUGGGUUGGGUUUUAUAAAUGGAGGAAGUGCUAAAAGGGCUAUGCCCCAGUUUACCGAAAAGGGCUUUGCCCCAGUUUAUCGAAAAGGGCUUUGCCCCAGUUAUUAAAAGAGGCUAGGCCUCCAGUUAUAUGAUAAAGUAGCUAUGCUGCCAGUGGAGAGUUUGGUUGGGUGGGUUGAGUUAUUCCCCACAUGGUGUGUUUGUUGGUACGGGUGGAGAGUAGUGGAUGGUGGGUUGAGUAGUCUCCCCAAAUGGGCUUGCAUACAUUCAUUGAUAUUACAUGUGAUAUUGAAAUGGGCCUAUGGGCCAUACCGCUUACAGUAAAGGCUUCGACUAGUGAUAUGAUUUAUGAAAAGGCUUCGGCCCAGUAUAUGUCGAGACUGAAUUAGGGCUUAGAAGCCCAUACUGCUACUGUUUAAGGGCUAAGGCCCAGGCUGUACUGUUACUGAAUAGGGCUUUGGCCCAGAUUGUACUGACACUAUGUUAUUCACUGUUUGUUUGUUGUUGGGGAUUACACACUGAGUUUUCGUAAACUCACCCCGUUUCUAAUUGUGCAGGUAAUCCCUAAGCUUAGAUGGUUUGGAGCUGCGAGGGACUCGGAGAUGGCCACACUACUGUUUCUGUUUCUUUUAAUUGCAAUUAGAUUUCGUUUUGGGUUUUUUUUUAUGUAAUAAGGCCGUUGGUGGGUUUUAAGUUUUAAUUUGGAUUGUGAUUUCUUAUACUAAACCGCUAGUCUAGGAAAACUCAAGAUUUCAAAAUGGCAUGAUUUUUCUAAGGAAUACGAGCUUCUAACAACAAAGUUUUCAAAAUGCUUCCGCGAUUUUAAAUGAUGUAAUAUACCAAAGGCAAACAAAUUGGUAAACGUUUUGAUGGGAACUGUGGUUUAAUAAUAAAUUUAGAUUCAGUAGUGGAUUUUCACCGAAAAGAUCAAAUUUGAAAAAUGGUUUGAUGUGACGCACCAGAUUCGGCCAUAACGUCUAGGCUGGGUUUGGGGUGUUACAUAUAAUUAACAAAAAAAAUGCUUAAAAUUAGUCAUUUAUGUUCAUCCUUGCUAAAAAUACAAAGAAAAAGAAAAAAAAUAAGCUUACUAGGGUUCGACACUUUGACUACUUGAUUAAGGUAUGAUUUUUGAUCCGUUUUUGAUAAUUUCUACAUUUUUGUGAUCGUUUCUUAGUAAUCUUUCAAACCCAUGCCUCGAUUUCUAAAUUUGAUUAUGAUUUUAAGAUGUUCCAUUGUUGAUAAUGUGAGUUUUAUAAAUUUUGAUGAUAGAAAAUGAAGGAUAUAUGUUAGAUCACUAUGUUUUGUAUUGGGAUGUUUUGUAUUGGCAUUUUUGAUGAAUUUGAGUAUUUUGGACUAAAUUGUGAAAAUGAGAAAUUGAGGGGCUAAAAUGUGAAAUAAAUGAAAUAUGUGGGCUUAUAUGAGCUAAAGGAAAAUUUGGCUAGGCAUGUAUGAGAGGAAAUUAUGCAUAUUUUAUGAUUUAAUGAAAUAGGGACGAAAGUGUUAAAAUGUGAAAAUGUAAGGGCUAAUUUGUAAAAUGCCCUAAAUAUGUGUAUAUGGAUUGAAUUGAAUGAUUUUUUGAAGAAAAGAGUUAAAUUUGAAUUUAUAUAGACCAAGAAUCAAAUAAAACAAAAUUAGAUUGGGGAAAUUCGAAAGUCGUUAAAGAGCCAUUCGUUUCCGCUUGAGGUAAGUCUAUAUACAAAUAAAUGAGUUUGAAUUGAUUUAUUCAUGUUUAUAUGAUAUUUAAUUGUGAUGAAUGUUGUAGAAGUUGAAUAUGUGAAAUUGAGAAAUUUUUGAUAAUGUAACGAAGUCCGAAAGCCCCGUACGAACCAUAAGAAUAAUUAGGAUACAUAUGUCAUGACAUAGGAUUUUCGACAUGUGAUUUUGUGUAAGACCACAUCUGGGACGUUGGCAUCGAUUUGAGAUUUACGUGUAAGACCAUGUCUGGGACAUCGACAUCGUAUUUGAUUUUGUGUAAGACCCUGUCUGGGACAUUGGCAUCGAUAUUUGAUUACAUGUAAGACCACGUUUGGGACGUUGGCAUUGUACGAGCUUUCUGAGCUAUUUGCAUAUCUUAUUUAAUCCCGUACGGUUCAACGAGCAUUUUGAGAAAUACGUGAUUGAAUGAAUGAAUAACCGAUUCAGGUACAUGGAGAUGUGUUCAACAUUUGUUAAUGAGAAGUAAGUAUAUGUGCAAGUGAUGAUAUGUUAUAUAAGUAUGAAAAAAUAUGCUAUAUGUGCAAAUGAAUUGGGAAUAUGUGAAAUGUGUAUGAACUAUGUGGUUUGUGAUAGUAUUUGGCUAUGGAGUAUAUGUAUUUUAUGAUUCUUAUAUGCUUAAAAUGUUAAGUGUAUUUGUAUAUGGCUUACUAAGCUUUGAAAGCUUACUCUGUGUCUAUUUGCAUUGUUUUUAGAUAUCGAAGCUACCGGAAGCUUGGGGAUCAUCAAGGAUCAUCACCACACUAUCAAACUUAUAUUUGGUACCUUUUGAAAGUGUAAAUUUUAAAGUAUGGCAUGGAUAGUCUAGAUAACUUGAGAUAUGUUUUUGAGUUAAAAAUAUUUAGCCAUGUGAUAUGGCUUGGUUUUGGUUGUGUUUAUGAAUGACUUUUGAGUAUAAACUAUGUGAUGCAAUAUUGCGAAUAUGAUGUGUUCACGGAUGGCCAAAGAGAAUUGGUCUAUUUGGUAAGAUUUUGGUAUGUGCUUAUUUGAGGAAUUGGUAAGAUUAUGACAUGAGAUUUAAUGAAGUAAAUUGAGAUUAUGAAACAUAUGUUUUAGUAUAACUUUGGCUUAUGAUUUGGCAUGAUUUGGAAUGAAUUAUAAGUAUGAAAUAGGUUUAUAAUAAUAUGACAUGAAUUAUGCAUGUUUUGGGACUGAAAUUGGUUGAAAUUAUGAUGCAAUUGAUACUUGUAGGGAGGACCCAAAAUGGGUGGUAGAUUGGCCUUGUAAAUGGCCUAUUUUUGCCCACACGGGCAAGGACUCGAGCGUGUGUCUCUGCCAUGUUGCUCGAGGGCCAUUUCAAAAUGAGCCUAGGUAGACCACACGGUUGUACACACGGGCGUGUGCCAAGCCGUGUGGCUAAGUCAAUUUCAAGCACGGGCUAGACACACGGGCAUGUGACUGACCAUAUAACCCAAGUUAGUAGCCUCCCUAAUUUUCACACGGCCUAGCACAUGGGCGUGUUUUGUGGCCGUGUGGACAAGUCAGUAUGUAUGCCCUGUUUUGCCACGACCUAAGAACAUGGUGUGUCUAAUGUCGUGUGAGGUACACGGCCUGUUCACAUGGGCGUGUGACCUUUGUAACUUAGAAAAAUUGUUAAAUUUCAUAAAAGUUUUGUAUGUGUUCAGUUUAGUCCCGACCUCUUCCUAAUGCAUGUUUAAGGUCUUGUUGACCUAGGAAAGGGACCUUAUGUUGAUAUUUGACUUUGAUAUGAUAAUGUAUGGCAUUCGAUUCUGAAAUGAUUUCGAAAUGUUUCGAUAUGUCCGGUAAUGCCUCAUAACCCUAGUUCGGGGAUGAAUACGGGUUAGAUAUGUUACAUUUGGUUGGUAUCAGAGUUACGGCUUAGCCGAUUCUAGGACUAACGUAGCGUAUGCGUGUCUAGCUAUACAUACCAUAUAUAUAAACUGUGAUAGUGUGAUGAUUCCUGACAAUGAAAAUGUGUUUCUAUAUAGUAAAUGGAUCUCGAGCGAGCCGUAGCUAACGAUGUUGAAAGUAAUGUGCCUGCUCCCGCUCAAGGGAUAGCGCCAUCUGAUUCUAGACUUGCUACUAGUAGUCAUGAGGGAGAGGCUAAGCAAGCCUUUUACCAAAUGAUGAAUGAUUGGUUCACUCAGUAUAUGAGAACUAAUCCAGCUAUUCCACAACCUUCAUCCCCGCUAAAUCCUCCACAAGUUCCUGUCAUGCCACAAGCUAAUUCGGUUCAGUUGAGUAAGCCAGCUGCUAAUCCAAUUCAGUUGAGUAAGCCACCUGUUGAUAAAAUUAGAAAAUAUGAGGCCAAAGAGUUUCGUGCUACUACUAAUGAUGAUGCUGAGAGAGCUGAAUUCUAGCUAGGGAAUACGAUACGAGUGUUUCAUGAAGUGUCAUGUACUCUGGACAAAUGUCUUAAAUGUGUCAUUUCACUUUUGAGAGAUAUGGCGUAUCAUUGGUGGAAGACGUUGAUAUCAGUGGUUGCGAUAGAACAAGUCACCUGGGAUUUCUUUCAAGCUGAAUUUCGAAAGAAAAACAUCAAUUAGAGUUUCAUCGAUCAAAAACGUAAAGAGUUUCUUGAGUUGAAAUAGGGCCAUAUGUUUGUUACAGAAUACGAGCGAGAAUUUGUAAGAUUGAGCCAGUAUGCACGAGAAUGUGUCUCAACCGAAGCCACAAUGUGUAAAAGGUUUGAAAAUGGCUUAAAUGAAGAUAUCCACUUGUUAGUUGGAAUUCUAGAGAUAAAAGAGUUUGUUGUGCUUGUUGAAUGGGCAUGUAAAGCUAAAGAACUUGGGAAAGAGAAAAUAAAAGCCAACUCAGAAGCUAGAGAAGUAUGAAAAAGAUCAUCGAGUAAGUCAUUUCAUUCGGAUCAAAGAAAUUUCGAGAUGAUUUUUACCGAUCAAAGGCUAAUGUGGGACAUGCGAGUAGAUAUCGUACUAGAUCGCAUUCGAGUUUUAGAGCUCGAGCUACUUCUGUUGCAGUAUUGGAAAUGUUCGAUCCGAUCGACCCGAGUAUAGACAUUAUGGUAAAAAACAUCUGGGAAUUUGUAGAUCGAAUGACCGAGCUUGCUUUAGAUGUUGAUCUUUAUCGUGAAUGUCUUGAGUCUGUAGAGCAAGAGAUUGUGCAAAAUUCGAGGCCGAGUGGAAAUACAGCUCGAGGUAGACUGCCUAGAAAUACGGGUAAUGUGAGUGGCAGCUGAGGGGAACUAAAGAUAUGACUGCUAGAUCUGAGGCUCAUAUACCUGCCAGAGCCUAUGCUAUUCGUGCACGUGAAGAAGCUUCGUCUCCAGAUGUUAUUACUGGUACAUUCAUUCUUUAUGAUAGUUUCGUGAUUGCAUUAAUAGAUCUGGGAUCAACACAUUCUUAUAUAUGCAUGAACAUAGUGAGCAGUAAGACUUUUUUCUGUAAAGUCUACUGAAUUUGUAAUUAGAGUAUCGAACCCUUUAGGCCGGUGUGUUUUGGUUGACAAAGUGUGUAAGAAUUUUCUGUUGAUGAUUCGAGAUUAAUGUUUUCCGGCUGAUUUGAUGUUAUUAUCAUUUGACAAAUUUGAUAUAAUUCUGGGUAUGGAUUGGUUAACUUUGCACGAUGCUAUUGUAAACUGAAAACGAAAGACUAUUGAUUUUCGAUGUCUGAAUGAUGAGAUUAUUCAGAUUGAGUCUAAUGAUCUGAAUGGUUUACCGACAGUGAUUUCUUCGAUGUUAGCUUAGAAAUAUGUGAGAAAGGGUUGUGAAGGCUACUUUGCUUAUGUGAUUGAUUCGAAAGUGACAGAAAAGAAAAUUGAAUCAGAGCCUGUUGUCUGUGAAUUCCCUAAUGUAUUUCAUGAAGAACUUUUGGGAUUACCUCUGAUUCGAGAAGUUGAGUUUGGCAUUGAAUUAGUGCUAGGGACUACUCCGAUUUCGAUAACACCGUAUAGAAUGGCUCCGACUGAGUUAAAAGAAUUAAAGUUUUUGUUGCAAGAUUUGACUAAUAGAGGAUUUGUAAGACCAAGUUUCUCACCUUGGGGUGCUCCUGUUCUAUUUGUGAAAUAGGAACAUGGAACGAUGAAAAUGUGUAUUGAUUAUCGUCAGUUGAACAAAGUGACUAUCUAGAAUAAAUAUCCUCUGCCCAGAAUUGAUGAUUUGUUUGAUCAGUUGAAAGGAGUUACUGUGUUUUAAAAAAUAGACUUCAGAUCAGGUUAUUAUCAGUUGAGAGUAAAAGAUUCAGACAUUUCAAAAAUUGCAUUUAGGACGAGGUAUGGACACUAUAGUUUGAUUUAUAUUUUUGAAUAUGGCAUGUAUAGGGAACUAAACUUGUGUUUUGUGUUGUUAAUAAUUUGGCCAAAUGUGUUGGCUUGGGAUAAAUUCCUUAUUUUGUAUUAAGCCCUGAAUGAUUGCUAAUAUUCAUUUUGAUAUAUGCAAAUGGUUUUUUAUUCAUGGAUGAGUAGAAUGCACAAAUGAAAUGUUGUCUAUUGUGGCUAAUUUUAUUGCAUGAAUAGUAUUGUACUGGUUUUGGUUGCUUUUGUGUAAGUAAGGGUGGCAAAGAGGCUUGGCAAAAAGCCUGAUUUUGUCCACACAGGUAUACAGACGGGCGUGUCUGACACACGGCCAGCACCAUGGGCGUGUUGUCUAGCCAUUUCUCCUUUGCACGUAAAAAUUUCAAGUCAAAAUGCAUGAUAAUAAACAUACGGGCAGAGACACGACCGUGUGUCUCAGCCGUGUGAAGGGCACAGUCUAGCACACAGACGUGUGCCUCGGCCGUGUGACCCUUAUGAAAUGCUGAUGUCAGAAAUAAAAUGUCUAGGUUUGUGCACACGGGCAUGUCAUGGCCGUGUGAAGGACACGGGCUAGGGACACGGGCGUGUGCCAAGCUAUGUGAAAACCCCUAUAGGUGUAAAUUUAGAAUUAAUUCCACAUCAGUAGAGGGCACGAGCGUGUCCCUAUUUUGCUUAGGCUGUAUGAGACAAAUGGGCCAUUAGCACAACCAUGUUGGAAUGGUCACACGGGCGUGUUGCCCCUCCCACACAGGCUUGUCCCCUAUGUUAAGUGACAUUUUUCUAUAGUUGUCAAAAAGACCCGAAUUGGUCUCGAAUGAUUUUCGAUGUGGGUUUUGGUCCUCGUAAGGCCACAUUAAGAAUAUAUUGAUAAGUUUAAAAAAGUUUUAAAUUUUCCAAGUCAUGAAGACUUGUAAUUGGUUGUAAGUAUAAGUUCAAGUUAGGUAACGCCUCGUAUUAUGCCCCAGCAUAGGAUACACGUAUAGGUUGUUACAUCGAGUAUCAAUCCUUGGGGUAGAUUUAUUGGUACUAUAAGAAAAGUACCGAUAAUCUUUAAUGUUUUCAAUUUUCAUGAGAAACAUGAUGCAAUUUUGGUAUUGAUUUUCCAUGUAGUAACGAUACCAUGUUUGUAAAAUAUUGAUACCCUAAGGUCAGUAUCGGUACCUACGUGUCUAACUUUGAAAUUUUGCUAAAUGGUCCAAAUGCUUGAAUUUUUAACACAGUAAGUUACAUUGAUGUAUGUCCAACAUGAUUUAAUGAUGAUUAAUUCAUGUAUGUCUUAAACCUGUGUAAAUGCUCUGAAUGACAUGUGUCGACCUUAAAAUUGUGAACACUAUAGCUUACAAGUAAUGAGACGGUGGUGUGGCAUCUUUAUAUUCGGGCUCAGCGAUCAAGCCUGGUAUAGGGUGUUACAGUUGGGGCUGAAAGAGACUCCACAUCGUGACGAGGGUUUCCCUGAUGUCAUGAGAAUCAGAAAAAACUUAGAAAUAGUCAAUCGUAUCUUGGAAGGCCAAUGAGGGUUAUUUUUCCUAAUUAAACCCUAAUUACUCUAAGGUUAUUUUAGGCAUCUAGCACCCUAAUGUUUGCCUAUAUAAACAAGCUUUAUAACUUCAUUUAUAGGUGGAGACAGGUUGGACGUAGCCAAAUUGUUUUCUUUAGCUUUUAGUUGAGUUUAUUUUAAUGUCCUGUCAAAUAUUGUAGUUAAUGCAGUCUAUUUCCACCCUCAAGGAACUUGUUUUCUAGGCAAUUUAAUAUUUUAUAUUACGUUUUCGUAUUUAGUAGUUAGAACUAAAUGUUAGUAAAAUAAGUGUUUUAAACACAUUUUAUGAGUGUUGUGACUCAAUAGGCCGACACAAGCCUUAGGUAGCUCUAAUAUGUUUAAUUGAGUGGUAAGAUGAAGAUUUAAAGGCCUAAUUGAUGUUGAAGCAAGGGACAAGUGAUGCACAAGCUUCCUGAGACAUAAAAGCAUGGAAAUAACAAAGAUUGUCAUGUAACACAUGCCGUUGAAUGCCAUAACCCUUGCAAAGCGCAACAUUGGUCAACUUGUCAUCUAAGGAAGAUGGAGUUAAUUUCGUCUGCACAAUUGACUUUAUAUGAAGACCUAUGACAUGCUGAAGACCUAAUUUGGGCUAUCAACACUUUUAUAAAUAAGACAUUAGGGGCUUUAUGUGAGUAAGUCAUCCUAGACGCACUAAAAAACCCUUGUAGUUUAGGAGUAGGACCUUCAGCCUAACACAUACUCUAUUUAAUCCUUUAUGUCUUGCUCCUUGAACGCAUUUAGACGUCCAACCAUCAAUAUUGAGGGAUUAGGCAUAUACAUCUUGGUGGUUUCAAAAGAAAAUAAAAAAAUUCAGUGAACUAAGGAAUCGCAUGGUAUAUUGAGUAUAAGAAUUUUGAGUUUGUAGAAAAAUAAGGCAAAAUGCCAAUUGAUAAAAUCUCGAUAAAAAUAAAAACAUAGUGAGUUGGAAGAAAAGUACGCUCACCUUUUUUUGAAAAAAAAUUACAAACUCUAAUGAUUGUACUCAUAAAUACUAUGCGAUGCCUUAGUAAACAGAGAGAUAGGGAAAGUUAGGGAAGUGGAUAUAAGGUCGUGAGCAUAUGUAUACUUAAGGGAGUAUUGUGGAAAAUAUCACGUGCCAAACUACUUUCAUGCUUAACCAUUUUUUUCAAUUCUAUUCUUUGAAUUCCAAACCAACCUCGGAACUUUACAAGAUGAAAAGUCCUAUGUGACUUAGUUAGUACAUUACAUGGAUAAAAUUGUGCUUAGUUUUGAAGUUUUUUCCACUUAUAUUCAUUUGAACAUACGUGAAUAUUUGCAUAUCUAUUUUCAUGGAAACCUAUACUUAACAUUCUUUUAUUUGUUUGCCUUGAAAUUUCUUGAACUAACUCGCCUAACUUUAGAAAUUUUGAGCCAAUUGUAUAUCACUCUAGAGUUAUAUAUUUAUUUGCAUUGUCUUUUUAAUAUAUUUCUAUUCAAUUUUCUAUACCAAACUAGCUCGAGUACAUUUUCUUUCCCUUGCAUGUUUAUUUCCUAUUUCCAAUUUUAGUUUAUUUUUAGUUUUAUUUAGUUUGCUUGAGGAUAAUCAAAGACUUAAGUGUCGAGGUAUUUGAUCUGUCAUCAAAUGAAGAAGUUAACUCAAUCUAUUUUCUCACCUAAGAAGCUUGAUUUCUAGGAAACUUAGUAUUUUAUAUUACGUUUUCGGUAUUUAGUGGUCAGAAUUAAAUAUUAGUAAAGUGAGUGUUUUUAACACAUUUUAUGAGUGUUGUGACCCAAUAGGCUGUGACGGGCCUUAGGUAGCUCUAAUAAGUUUAAUUGAGUCUGUAGGAUGAAGAUUUAUAGGUACAAUUGAUGUGGAAACAAGGGACAAGUGGAGCACAAGAUUCUCAAGACGUCAAAGCAUGAAAAGAACAAAGAUUGGUGGGGAACACAUGUCAUGUAGCGCCAAAACCCUUGCAUGGCGCGACAUAGGUCGACUUGUCGUCCAAAGAUGUUAAGGUUAAUUUUGUACACAUAGUCGACUUUAAAUGAAGACCUAAGACUUGCUAAAGACCUAAUUUGAGUUGUCAACACUUCUAUAAAUAAGACAUUAGGGAUUUGAUGUGAGUAAGUCAUCGUAGACGCACUUAAAAGCCCUAAUAGUUUUAGAGUAAGUUUAGAUUAGUUUUCUUUUUGCUUUUCUUAACUAUUUUUUUCCUCUUGGAAUCUAUUUCAACCUAAGAGUUUAUUUAAUUCAUUGAAUUAUUUCAGUUUAUUUAUUCUUAUGAUUUGCCAUGUUUCAUUAUUCCAACCAAUCGAUUUGUUACUCUAUUCUCCCUUCAAUAUCAAUCCACAAUUAUUCCAAUAUCAUUUAUCUUUCAAUUCAGUCAUGUUCUUCACAUGAUUUACUCAAUUGGGAUUGAGAUUAUGAAUAACAUGAGUGGCUAAACACCUUAGAGAAGAUUAAUUAGUGGAUGAGGAUGUGGUUAAUGGAGGAUUUGGUGUUUUCCUGUGAGUGUUAGUUGGUAUAAAUAUGUGUUUUUAAACUCUAGGCUUGACAACCAUAGGAAGUUAUCAUAGGCUAGACAAGAUCGAGAGAUAAGUCAACCGAGUACAUCGUAGUUUAUCCUAGUUGAGAAAAUGAGUUCGGGAGAUAAGCGAGUAUCAAGCAAUCAAUUGAUUAUUUAGAAGCCGAGAGGUAAUAAAUGUUUAACCGAUAACUAAUCCACCCUAUAAUCCUAAUCUGAAGUUACAAACCCUGAAGUGAGUUAAUCUUCCUGAUUGGUUUCUUGAUUUAAGUCAUUUAUUUUUCUUAUUCAUUUAUUUUUAUUAUUUAAAUUCUCUCAUUAAUCUAUGUUAAGUUUUAUCGUCAUACAAAAAUUAAUUAAUACUAUUUAGACUCUUUAUUAUAAAAAGGUUUUCAUAGAUUUAUUCCAUCAUCCCUUGGGUAGGAUCCUCGGAAAACUUCUAGUUGUUUCAUUGUAACUAAAUUAUAUUACAUUGUUGUUUUAAAUUCUUAUAUAUUUUUGGGGUUAUAUUUUACUAUAAAUGAUAACUCGUUUAUAGGCAAUCAAGUUGUUAGUGCUGCUGCCAGGGAGGUUUCGACAAUAAAUCUUAAAAAUAUUUUUUUUAGAAUUAAUAAGAUAAGUAUGAAAAAUUAAAACCUAUAGAUACGAUAUUUAAUUUUUGUUUAUUUUUAUUUUUAUUUUUAUUUCAAGUCGAUUAUGACCUGAAGCUCCUAUGCCACAAUUGAACCCUACCUAAAUCUAGAGCAAAUAUUUAGGUCAUCGCUUGACGAUCGUGCCUAAGUAUUUGCACCGGAUCUGGUUCUAUUUCGAUUGGGGUACUGGAGCUUCAGGUUAUAAACGACCUGAUAAAAAAACAAAAAUAAAUAAAUAAACUAUAUAUUAUAUCUACAGGUUUUAAUGUUCCUACUUAUCUUAUUAAUUGUAAAAAAAUAUUUUCAAGAUUUAUUGUUAAAACCUCCCCGGCAACGACACUAACAACUUGAUUGCCUAUAAAUGAGUUAUCAUUUAUAGUAAAAUAUAACACCAAAAAUAUAUAAGAAUUUAAAACAACAAUGUCCAAAAGUGCAUGGGUCAAAUUGUAAUAUAGUUUAGUUACAAUGGAACACUUGGAAGUAUUCCCAAUAUCGUACCAAAUGAGGAUGGACUAAAUCUAUAAAAACCUUUUUACAAUAAUAAGACUAAAUAGUGUUAAUUAAUUCUUAUAUUAUGAUAAACCAUAAAAUAGAUUAAUGACAGAAUUUGGAUAACUAACGUAAAUGAACAAGAAAAAUAAACAAACGAAUUAAAUCAAUAAACCAAUCAGGAAGAUUAACUCACUUUAAGGGUUGUAAUUAAAUUCGAAUAAGGAUUCUAGGGUGGAUUAGCUAUCGAUUACCCACUUAUUACCCACUGGUCUCUAAGUAAUUAAUCGAUUAGUUGAUACUCACUAAUCAUCGACCUCACUUUCUCAACCAGGAUAAAGUACAAUUUACUUGGUCAACUUAACUCCCAAUCUUGUUUGUCAAGCUUAGGGUUUAAGAACACACAUUUAUACCAGCUAAUACUCUCGGGAAAUCCCUAAAUCCUCUAUUAAUCGUAUCCCUAUCCACUCGUUAAUCUCCUUAAAGGAAUUUAGCCACUCAUGUUAUUCAUAAUCUCAAUCCCAAUUGAAUAAAUUAUAUUGAAUGCAGAAUAGAGUAGCAAAUUGAUUGAUUCGAAUAAUGAAAUGUGUCGAAUGCAAAGAAUAAAUAAACUCUUGGAUCGAAACCUAUUCCAAGAGGAAAAGCCAAUAGUUAAGAAAAGCCCAAAGAAAACUAAUCUAAACCUACUCCUAAACUACUAGCCUUUUUUGGUGCGUUUAGAAUGACUUUCUUACAUCAAAACCCUAAUGUCUCAUUCAUAUAAGUGUUGGUAGCCCAAAUUAGCUUUUUGGCACAUCCUAGGUCUUUUUAUAAAUUCGACUAUGCAAACAAAAGUAACCCUGACAUCCUUGGGCAUCAAGUCGACCUAUGUCACACCAUGCAAAGGCUAUGGUGCGACAUGACAUGUAUUCCACACCAAUCUUGGUUCUUUUCAUGCUUUAUUAUCCCAGAAAACUUGCGCAUCACUCACCCCAUGCUUCUACAUCAAUUGGGCCUAUAAAUCUACAUUCUACACACUAAAUUAAACAUAUUAGAGCUACCUAAGGCCCAUGUUGGCCUAUUGGGUCACAACACUCAUAAAGUGUGUUAAAAAGGACUUAUUUUACUAAUUUUUAAUUCUAACUACUUUAUACCGGAAACGUAAUACAAAAUAUUAAAUUGCCUAGGAAACAAGCUCCAUAAAUGCAAAAAUAGACUGAGUUAACUACUACAUUUGACAAUAGGUCAAUAAUGAACCUUUCUCAUGUAAUCUCUUUCUUCCGUUGUCUUAGGACAGUCUUUUAAAGAAGGAUGCAAGCACAAUACAAAGGGUUGAGUUCCCUUCUUUGAAUCGGUCAUUUCAUAGUGUUCCAAAAUAUUGUUUAUGUAUGAAGCUUGUGAUAAAGCUAUCACUUUGUUCUUUUGAUCUCUUAAGAUUCAAAUUUCCAAAACAAAGUUAGCUUCUCCCAAGUUCUUCAUGAAAUGUUCACAUUUCUUUUCUUCUUGUAGAUCCACUUACAACCUAUUGGUUAUAUCCCCUUCGGUAAGUCUACAAGUCCUACAUUGAUUUGCACUUUAGAGAAUCCAUCUUAAAUUUCAUAGUUGUUUCAAAUGUGAGUGGUUCACCAUUUUCUCAUUUGAAAGACUCAAUGUUGAAAACAUUUUCACCAAACUAGAAGAACUUCGGCCUAUGAGAGACCAUUCCAUAAGUAUGAAACUCUCUAUGUUGCUUGUAACAGCCCGAUUUAGACCUUAGUCGAAACAGUGGUUUUGGGACCACAAAUCCGACUAAAAAAAUAUUUUAAUAUUAUUUUCUGUGCUUACAGUAUGUGAAUUGAUAUGUGUGAAAUUUUUGUAUGAAAAUUUUAUUGUUUGAGUGUCAAUUUGUCAAGAAGGACUUAAUCGCGUAAAAUGUAAAAGUGGCAUUCUAUUUGUGAAAGUGCUAUAUUGCUAUGGCUUUUAUUAUGUGGGGCCUUAUGUUUUAAUUUCACCAUUGAAAAUAUGUAUGGGCGGUAAUGGGCUUAUAUUAUGAGUUUUAUCAUUAAAAUCAUUAAGGUUAGUUUUGUAAUUAGUUAAAAAUGUUAUUAUAAUAAAUCAUAACAUAAAAAGAAAAUAAAAACACAUGAAAAUGCUCAUAUUUUGAUCGAAAAUUGAGAAAUAAAAAAAGGUUUAAAGCUUUCAAACAUUCGGCCAUGGUCCAUGCUUGAUUCAAGUUUCGUUUUUGCUUGGUUUUUGAUAAUUUUUACGUUUUUGAUAUCGUUGUUUUGAGUACUAGUAAACCCAUGCUUGAAUUUUUGAAUUUGAUGAUGAUUUUUUUUCCAUUGUUGAAAGCUUGAUGAUUUUUGUGUUUGAUGAUGAAAAAUAAAUAUGUGUUAAUAGAAUUUCUUGUUUAAUUAAAUGAAUUUUGAUAAAAAUGAGUAUUAAGGACUAAAUUAAGAAAUUUGUUAAUUGAGGGGUCAAAAUGUGAAAUAAAUGAAAGAAAUGGGCUGUUAGGGACCUUAGUGAAAUUUGGCCAAGCAUGGGUGUGGUCAAAUUUUGAAUAUUUUUGUGUUUUGUGAAAUAAAGACUAAAUUGCGAAAAAUAUGAAAUGUUAAGGGCAAAAGUGUAAUUAUCCCAUUUAUGUGUUUUUGGAUAAAUUUGAUUGAGUAUGAGAUUAAACAAGUUAAAUUUUCAUUGAAUUAGAUCAAGAAAUGAGGAAAUUUGAUCUAGAUUGGGGAAAGUCGAAAAUUAUUGAAUAGUCGUUCAGGUCCAUUUGUGUUAGUACGAGGUAAGUUCUUAAGUAAAUAAAUGUUGUUAAAUUCGAUUGUAUAUGUAUUAUAUGUGCCGAAUUGAAUUAUAAUAAAUAUAUUUGUAUAUGCCAAAAUGAAUUAAGCAUUGAAUAAUUAGUUGGGAGCUUGAACCGAUCGAAUUAUAACGUCAAAAAGCCCCGUACGAACCAUAGGAGUACUUAGGAUACAUAUGUCAUGACAUAGGAUUCUAAUAUGUGUUAUCAUGUAAGACCACGCCUGGGAUGUUGGCAUCGAUUUGAGAUUUACGUGUAAGACCAUGCUUAAUACAUUGGCAUCAUAUAUGAUUUCGUGUAAGACCCUGUCUUGGACAGUUGCAUCGAUAUUUGAUUACAUGUAAGACUAUGUCUUGGACGUUGGCAUUGUACGAGCUUUGAGCUAUCCGAGUAUCCUUAUUGAUUCUGAAUGGUUCAAUGGGCAUUCUAAGAAAUCAAUAACUAUGUGAAAGUGUAACACCCCUAACCCGUAUCCGUUGCCAGACUAGGGUUAAAGGCAUUAUUGGACAAAUCAGAACAUUUUACAAACAAUUCAAUAACAUCAUCCAUAAUAUAGUCAACCAUCAAUAUAAAGCCCCUUAUAUAGGUCUCCGAGACCUUAAUCAUGCUUUAGAAAGGCGUCGGGACUAAACCGAGCUCAUACAGAAUUUUUCAAAAUUUAAACACUUUUCAAAGUUGUACAGGUCACAUGCCCGUAUGAACAGGUCGUGCGCCUCACACGGCUUUAGACGCACUCGUAUGNNNNNNNNNNNNNNNNNNNNNNNNNNNNNNNNNNNNNNNNNNNNNNNNNNNNNNNNNNNNNNNNNNNNNNNNNNNNNNNNNNNNNNNNNNNNNNNNNNNNNNNNNNNNNNNNNNNNNNNNNNNNNNNNNNNNNNNNNNNNNNNNNNNNNNNNNNNNNNNNNNNNNNNNNNNNNNNNNNNNNNNNNNNNNNNNNNNNNNNNNNNNNNNNNNNNNNNNNNNNNNNNNNNNNNNNNNNNNNNNNNNNNNNNNNNNNNNNNNNNNNNNNNNNNNNNNNNNNNNNNNNNNNNNNNNNNNNNNNNNNNNNNNNNNNNNNNNNNNNNNNNNNNNNNNNNNNNNNNNNNNNNNNNNNNNNNNNNNNNNNNNNNNNNNNNNNNNNNNNNNNNNNNNNNNNNNNNNNNNNNNNNNNNNNNNNNNNNNNNNNNNNNNNNNNNNNNNNNNNNNNNNNNNNNNNNNNNNNNNNNNNNNNNNNNNNNNNNNNNNNNNNNNNNNNNNNNNNNNNNUGCAUAGGAAUCAAAGGAACAAAAGAAUAAUGAUAAAUUUUAGUAAGAAAAUAGUACUGAAAAAUAAACAAAUCUCAACUAAAAGUCAAAGUAAGUUAUUAGUAAUAGAAAUAUGAGAAAUAGUGAUAAAGAAUACCUAGGAGCUGACAUAGACAACUUAUGUUAGACAUGAAAGCAGUAAAUAGAUGAAGAAACAAUGAAACAGAGAUGCAAGUGAGAUGAUAAUACAAAAUAUGGUGUGGUAGAGCAGGAAGAAAUGAAAUCCAUGGAAACACAAAAGACCAAGAAUGAGUGAAGGUAGUAUUAUGCAUAGGUCAAGCACUAUUAGUAGUAAAAUGGAAAAUCACUAAACAAAAAUAAGAAUCACAAGCAUGAAUAUCAUUAGCAGUGUAAAGAAUAACCAACAAUAGUAAAAUGAAACAAGAAAUAAAAUAAAGAUAGUAAAGAAAAUGAAGAUAAUGGAGAGAAAAGGAUGGAAAAACGCAGAUGUACUUAGUGGUGCUCGGUGUGCGCGCGGGGUGGUGCGUGAUGAGAGGUGGAAGGGGUGAUGGAGAAGGGGAAAGGAGAUAAGGAGGUGGCAGGUGGCGGUACGUGGUGGUCAGAGGGGGAGGGGGAAGAGAGGGAAGAAAGGAGAAGGAGAAGGGGGCUUGUUGAAAAACAUGAUGAAUGGUGAAGGGUAAAGGGAGAAAUUAGGGUUAGGAGGAUUAAAAAGGGGGAAACGGUCGCGUAAUCCCCAUUUUAAGCCACACGACCGUAGACCACGCCCGUGUGGUACACUCUUAGCCCGUGUUUUUCAUGAAAUUCGUAGUUAGGAUCGCACACGAUUACUUGAACACGCCCGCGUCCUUAAGUCGUGUGGUGCACAUGGCUGCGUCACACAGCCGUGUGUACGAUCGUUCACUUCUCCCAUGCCCGUGUUAGGUUCACCACACCCGUGUUCAUGGCUUAUGCUUAUGGUUUGACGUUUCAAGUCGGUAUCACACACGGCCUACGGACAAGCCUGUGUGUUUAUGCCGUGUGACGUACACGGCCACAUCACAAGGCCAUGUGGUGCUCACUUCGUUUCUCCCACGCCUGCGUCCAAUCCAACAUGUCCGUGUGCAAUCCAACACGCCCGUGUCAAUUAUUCAGGAUUGUGCAUGGCUCUUGAACACGGCCGUGGCCUACGCUCGUGUUCUAUUCUGACUUCGUUUAUCGUUUCAAAAUUUGGGAAAGUUUUCACAUGGCUUCAAGCACGCUCGUGGUAUAGACAAUGUGUCUCCCACGGCCACCUCAGAUCGCCAUGGUGAUUUAUCAUAGGCAGUGUCUCUAUUGAUCUUUUUUCGAAAUUAAGGUGCAGUUUUACCACGGUCUGGGACAUGCCCGUGUCCCUUAGCCGUGUGGUGCACAUGGCCGUGUCUCACGGCCGUGGCUAUUUAUCACAGCCCGUGUGUCAUCCUGUCUUGAGAAAAAUAUUUGUCCUAUUUUAGUACGACCAUGGCCACACCUGUGUCACUUGCCUGUGGGGAGCCCACGGCCAAAAGUACGCCCUUGUGCUAGGCCGUGUAUGCUGAUAAUACCUGCAAUCAGAUUAUAAAACAAAAAGGAAAAAAAACUAAGUUAUUUAGUGGGGUUCGUGCUCGAGUUGCCUCCCGAGAAACACUUAUUUAGAGUCUAAGAUCGAGUUUACCUGGUAGGUAUGUUUAUUCAGCUUCGCUGAACCGUAGCUCCUCUCCCUUGUCUUUGAAAUCCUCACCGUUACAAAGUUUAAGUCGAUGUCCAUUUACCUUGAAAGUGCCUUGAGUUGGGUGACUUACCUCUACUGUGCCAUAUGGAAAGAUGGUUUGGACUACGAAAGGACCUGACCAUCGUAAUUUAAGCUUUCCAAGAAACAAUUUGAGCCUUGAUUUUUAUAACAGGACACGAUCUCCAACUUCAAAUUGCUUGUUUUGCUUUAAACGAGCAUCAUGGCAGUGCUUUGUUGCUUCCUUGUAUAUUCGUGAAUUCUCAUGGGCAUUAGCUCGCCAUUUAUUUAACUCGUUUAGCUAUAUCAAUCUCCUUUCACUUGUGAGUUUGGGAUCAGAGUUUAGAAAUUUUAUAGCCCAAAAUGCUUUAUGUUCCAAUUCAAACGACAAAUGACAACUUUUACCAUAAAUAAGUCUAUAAGGGGAUGUUCCUAUGGGUGUCUUAAAAGUAGUUCUAUAGGCCCAUAAAGCAUCAUCUAUUUUCUUUGCCCAAUCCUGCCUAUUUGAGUCUAUAGUUUUUUCGAGAAUGCGUUUAAGUUCUUAGUUAGCAACUUCGACUUGUCCACUAGUUUGAGGAUGGUAAAGGGUAGCUGUUCUGUGAUAAACUCCAUAUUUCUUAAGGGUUUUAUCAAUUUGAGUAUUACAGAAAUUAGUGCCCUUAUCACUGAUGAUUACUCUAGGAGUUCCAAAUCGAGAGAAAAGUUUCUUAAGGAACUUCACCACCACUUUAGCAUCAUUAGUAGGUAAGGCUUGGGCUUCCACCCAUUUAGACAUAUAAUCAACGACUACUAAUAUGUAUUUACUCUCAAAUGAGCUAGGGAAUGGACCCAUGAAAUGAAUACUCCAAACAUCAAAGAUUUCACAUGAGGCGUCACACAGCCGUGUGUACGAUCGUUUGCUUCUCCCAUACCCGUGUUAGGUUCACCACGCCCAUGUUCAUGGCUUAUGCUUAUGGUUUGAUGUUUGAAGUCGGUAUCGCACACGGGCUACGGACAAGCCUGUGUGUUUAUGCCGUGUGACCCAUACGGUCACAUCAUGCGACCAUGUGGUGCUCACUUCUUUUCUCCCACGCCCGUUUCCAAUCUAACAUGCCCGUGUCCAAUCCAACACGCCUGUGUCAAUUAGUCAGGAUUGUGCAUGACUAUUGAACACGGUCGUGGCCUACGCCCGUGUUCUAUUCUGACUUCGUUUAUCAUUUCAAAAUUUGGGAAAGUUUUCACACGGCCUCAAGCACGCUCGUGGUACAAACUGUGUGUCUCCCACGGCCGCCUCACAUGGCCGUGGUGAUUUAUCAUAGGCAGUGUCUCUGUUAAUCUUUUUUGGAAAUUAAGGUGCAGUUUUACCACGGUCUGGGACAUGCCCGUGUCCCUUAGCCGUGUGGUACACAUGGCCGUGUCUCACGGCCAUGGCUAUUUAUCACAACCCGUGUGUCAUCCUAUCUUGAGAAAAAUAUUUGUCCUAUUUUAGCACGGCUAUGGCCACACUUGUGUCACUUGCCUGUGGGGAGCCCACGGCCAAAAGCACACCCGUGUACUAGGCAGUGUACGCUGAAAAUACAUGCAGUCAGAUUAUAAAACAAAAAAGAAAAAAAACUAAGUUAUUUAGUGUGGUUUGUGCUCGAGUUGCCUCCCGAGAAGCGCUUAUUUAGAGUUUAAGCUCGAGUUUACCUGGUAGGUAUGUUUAUUCAGCUUCACUAAACCGUAGCUCCUCUCCCUUGUCUUUGAAAUCCUCACCGUUAUAAAGUUUAAGUCGAUGUCCAUUUACCUUGAAAGUGCCUUGAGUUGGGUGACUUACCUUUACUGUGCCAUAUGGAAAGAUGGUUUGGACUACGAAAGGACCUGACCAUCGUAAUUUAAGCUUCCCAGGAAACAAUUUGAGCCUUGAGUUGUAUAACAGGACACGAUCUCCAACUUCAAAUUGCUUGUUUUGCUUUAAACGAGCAUCAUGGCAGUGCUUUGUUGCUUCCUUGUAUAUUCGUGAAUUCUCAUGGGCAUUAGCUUGCCAUUCAUUUAACUCGUUUAGCUACAUCAAUCUCCUUUCACUUGUGAGUUUGGGAUCAGAGUUUAGAAAUUUUAUAGCCCAGAAUGCUCUAUGUUCCGAUUCAAACGGAAAAUGACAACUUUUACCAUAAACAAGUCUAUAAGGGGAUGUUCCUAUGGGUGUCUUAAAAGCAGUUCUAUAGGCCCAUAAAGCAUAAUCUAUUUUCUUUGCCCAAUCUUGCCUAUUUGACUCUAUAGUUUUUUCUAGAAUGUGUUUAAGUUCUUGGUUAGCAACUUCGACUUGUCCACUAGUUUGAGGAUGGUAAAGGGUAGUUGUUCUGUGAUAAAAUCCAUAUAUCUUAUGGGUUUUAUCAAAUUGAGUAUUACAGAAAUUAGUGCCCCUAUCAUUGAUGAUUACUCUAGGAGUUCCAAAUCGAGAGAAAAGUUUCUUAAGGAACUUCACCACCACUUUAGCAUCAUUAGUAGGUAAGGCUUGGGCUUCCACCCAUUGAGACAUAUAAUCAAUUACUACUAAUAUGUAUUUACUCUCAAAUGAGCUAGGGAAUGGACCCAUGAAAUCAGUACCCCAAACAUCAAAGAUUUCACAUGAGAGCAUGUAUGUUUGGGGCAUUUCGUCACGUUUAGAGAUAUUACCUGUUCGUUUGCAUUUAUCGCAAGUAGUAACAUACCUGUUGGCGUGUUUGAAUAGUGUGGGCCAGUAAAAACCUGAUUCGAGUGUUUUAUGUGCUAUCCUAAUUCCACUGUAAUGUCCCCCAGUCGGUCCUGAGUGGGAAUACUCUAAAAUUUUAAUCGCUUCUAUCUCUGUAAUGCAUCUUCGAAUUACUUGAUCUGCACAUAUACGAAAAAGAAAAGGUAUUCCCAAAAGUAGUUUUUCACAUCAGUAAAGAAUCGCUUCUUUUGUUGAUGUGUCAACCUUUUUGGUAUAAUGUUAGCAGCUAAAUAAUUCGCAAUGUCUGCAAACUAAGGUUCCUCAGAGUCAGAGCUAGCAAAAAGUUGUUCUUCAGGGAAUGAGUCAUUUAUCUCCUAUUCGUUCAGUUCAUUGAGAUGUGGGUUUUUCUAAUCUGGAUAGAUGAUCUGCUGCAAGAUUUUCUGCUCCUUUCUUAUCUUGAAUUUCUAAAUCGCAUUCCUAAAAUAAUAAAAUCCAUCUUAUUAGUCGAGGUUUUGCAUCUGUUUUAGUAAGGAGGUAUCGAAGAGUUGAGUGGUCAGUGUAAACGACAACUUUAGAUAAUAUUAAAUAUGGUCUAAAUUUAUUGAAUGCAAAAACCACAGCCAAUAAUUCUUUCUCGAUCGUCCUAUAAUUUUCUUGUGCAGCUGUCAAUAUUUUGCUAGCAUAAUAAAUCGAUUGAAAGUGCUUGUCUUUCCUCUGUCCAAGAACCGCUCCUACUCAAAAUCACUCACAUCACACAUUAGUUCAAAAGUAAAUUCCAAUCAGGUGCAACAAUAAUUGGAGCAUUAAUUAAUUUAUCAUUAAGAGUAUUGAAUGCUUCCAAACAAUCCUAACUGAAAUUGAAAGGUACAUCUUUCUCUAGAAAAUUCAUUAAAGGCUUGGCUAUUUUAGAAAAGUCUUUAAUAAAUCGUCUAUAAAAUUGAGCAUGACCUAAAAAACUACGAAUAGCCUUACCUGAAUUAGGAGGAGUUUGUUUCUCAAUAGUUUCAACCUUUACUUUAUGAAUCUCGAUUCCUUUGCUAGAAAUUUUAUGGCCUAACACAAUCCCUUCACGAACCAUGAAGUGACAUUUUUCCCAAUUCAGUACAAGAUUUGUUUCCUCAAAUCUAAUCAAAACUCGUUUCAAUUUUUUAAGGCAAAGAUGGAAAAAGUUACUGAAUACCGAGAAGUCAAUCCAUGAAUACCUCUAUAAUGUCUUCUAUAAGUUCAUAAAAAUUAGCCAGCAUGCAGCGCUGAAAAGUAGCAGGAGCAUUACAUAAUCCAAAAGGCAUUCGUCAAUAAGAAAAUGUACCAUAUGGACAUGUAAAUGUCAUUUUCUCUUGGUCCUCAGGAGCUAUUGGGAUUUGGAAAUAACCGGAGAGUCCAUCUAGGAAGCAAUAAUACAUAUGUCCAGAUAAUCUUUCCAACAUCUGAUCAAUGAAUGGUGGGGGAAAGUGAUCUUUUAUUGUGGCAUCGUUCAAUUUCUUAUAGUCAAUGCAGACUCUCCAUCCCGUGACUGUUCGUGUUGGAAUUAAUUUGUUCUUCUCAUUGGCCACGACAGUUAUGCCUUCUUUCUUAGGAACAACCUGCAUAGGACUCACCUAGGAACUGUCAGAGAUAGGAUAAAUAAUUCCAACAUCUAGAAGUUUAGUUACCUCAACUUUUACAACGUCUUUCAUGUUAGGAUUCAACCGUCUUUGCGCUUGCACACAGGGUUUGGAUUCAUCCUCUAUUAAAAUUUUAUGUGUACAAAAAGAAGGGUUAAUUCCUCUUAUGUCAGAAAUCUUCCAGGCUAUGGCUCUUUCAUACUCCUUUAAAACUUUGAGUAACUCAUCUUUUUCGGUUGGCUGUAAAUCUAAAGCAAUAAUUACCGGUAAUGUGGAAUUAUCUCCAAGAAACGCGUAUUCUAAGUGAUCUGGUAAUUGUUUUAAUUCCAAUUUAAGCAGUUCUUCAACAGAGGGUUUUAAUUUUAAUUUAUUGUUUACCUCAAUACCCUCGUAGCUCUUCUGUCUCAAUGAAGGUUCAUUGGAAUUUAGUUCAUCUUUUAUCUUACCUAUCUCAGAAUCAACAUCAUUUACCUCCUCUCCUUGGGCAAGACACAGUUCCAACAUGUCCUUAUGUACAAUUUCCUGUAAAGAAUCUUGAGUAGCAUGAUCAAUAGAGUGAAUAAAACAACAUGAGUCAUCCUAUUUCCUAGAAAGUCUCAUAGCAUCAUAAAUUUUAAAAAUAAUCUCUUCGUCACCUACUCUAAGCACAAGUUUACCAUCACCUACAUCAAUAACAACCCUAGCAGUGGCUAAAAAUGGAUGACCUAAAAUUAAAGGCACCUCAACAUCCUCAUCUAUGUCAAGCACAACAAAAUCAAUAGGAAAUAUAAAUUUAUCUACUUUUACAAGUACGUCCUCUAUAAUACCCCUAGGAUAUUAAACAGAUCUAUCAGCUAGUUAAAUACUCAUCCUACUGGGUUUAGGUUCCCUAAGACCAAGUUGUUUGAACAUUUUAUAUGACAUCUAAUUAUGCUAGCACCUAAAUCAGCUAGUGCCUUCUCAAUUUUCAAACUGCCAAUUAAACAGAGAAUAGUAAAACUUCCUAGAUCAUUCAGUUUGGUUGGCAGUUUAUUUUGGAGUAUAGCCGAGCAUUCCUUGUUGAGUUCUACUGUAGACAAAUCUUCAAACUUUCUUUUAUUUGUUAGAAGCUCCUUUAAAAAUUUUGCAUAUGUAGGCAUCUGUGAGAUAGUUUCAACAAAAGGUAAAUUAAUAUGUAAUUGUUUAAAAAUUUUGAGAAAUUUACCAAAUUGUGCAUCCAUGCGGUCUUUCUUCAACUUCACUGGGUAUGGGACUUGUGGUUUAUAUUCCCUCAACACCGAUUUUUCAUUUUCUUCGGGUUUUUCCUCCUCACCUGCUUUUCUGUCAGCUUCUGGUUGCAGCUUCUUUUCAGAUUCAGCUAACACCUUCCCACUCCUUAAUGUAACUGCUUUCACAUGCUCUUUUGGAUUGUGUUCUGUAUUGUUGGCUAGGCUCCCUGAUGGUCUUUCUGAAAUCAUCUUAGCCAGCUAUCCUAUUUGAUUCUCGAGCCCUUGAAUUGAUGCUUGUUGAUUUUUAAGUGCAGUUUUAGUAUUUUGAAAACGAGUCUCCACUAUUGAGAUAAAUUUUGUCAUCAUCUCUUCAACGUUCGGCUUUUUCUCUGGCUGGUACGGUUGUUGUUGGAAACCUGGAGGGGGUGGUGGUAUUUGAUUUCCUUGGCCACCCCAUGAGAAAUUUGGGUGGUUCCUCCAACUUGCAUUAUAAGUGUUAUUAUAAGGAUUAUUUUGGGGUCGAGGAUUAUUACCCAUAUAGUUCAUUUGCUCAUUCUCCAUGUUAGGGCUGUAGGAUGGAUAGUCUAAAUUGCUCGUUCCUCCUCCACUUGCAUUGCACUGCAUUACUGGAUGAAUCUGUGAAGAGCCAACUAAACCAUCAAUUUUUCUAUUCAAAAGUUCUACCUGAUUAGAGAGCACAGUAACUGAAUUGACGUUAAAAAUUGCCGACUGCUUUUGUUGGAUUUGUCCUCAUGACUUGUCACUGAUAAUUAUUCAGUGACAUCUCUUCUAUAAACUCAUAAGCCUCUUCAGGUGUCUUAUUAUUAAUAGUCCCACCAGUAGCUGCAUCAAUCAUCUGUCUAGUUGAAGGAUUCAAACCGUUGUGGAAAGUUUCAACUUGUAGCCAAAGGGGUAACCCAUGGUGAGGGCACCUUUUAAAUAGAUCCUUGUAUCUCUCCCAUGCAUCAUAAAGUGUUUCUAAAUACAUCUGGACAAAAAGAAGAAGUAUCAUUCCUUAGUUUAGCCGUUUUAGCCGGCGAAAAAUAUUUUAGUAAAAAUUUUUCAGUCAUUUGUUCCCAAGUUGUGAUUGACCCUCGUGGUAACGACUUUAACCACUGUUUAGCUUUGAUCCUCAAUGAGAAUGGAAACAACCGAAGGUGAAUGGCAUUGUCAGAAACGCCAUUGAUCUUAAAAGUGUAGCAGAAUUCCAGAAAGUUUGCUAAAUGAGUGUUUGGAUCCUCGUCCUACAAACCAUCAAACUGAGCAAACUGUUGUAUCAUCUGAAUUGUGUUAGGUUUCAGUUUAAAAUUAUUUGCAACAAUAGCAGGCCUAACCAUACUCGAUUCAGUUCCUGUUAAAGUAGGUUUAGCAUAAUCAUACAUAGUACGAGGAGUAGGAUUCUAAUCUACUGGGUUUGCAACAACCACAGGAGGUAACGAAUUAUUUUGAUUAUCAGCCAUCUCCUUGGUUGUGGUUUGAAAAUCAUCCUUGCCCUUUCUCUAUGUAUUGUAAGCUACGCCAUAUUUCUCUUCAGUUUUUGCAAGUUGUGCUUUUGAUCUUUCUAUCAAAAAGUAGAGGUCCUGAUAGGUUUCUUCUAGUCAUAAACUAGAAAAACCUGCCAGAAGUAAAUAAAAGAAAAUUUAGUAAUUUAAGAAAAAUUAAAAAUAAAAUAAAAAUAAAAAAAUGGCUAAAGUAAUAAAAAUUAAGCGUUUUUAAUAUCUUAGUCCCUGGCAACGGCGCCAAAAACUUGAUGGUCGCUAAACUAACUAAAAAUUCGACUUAAGGCAAGCGCACCUAUCGAACAGUAGUAUAGUUAUGGUUAGACCGAAAAUAUCGUAUCCACGAGCACUAAAAGUACUAGUAAUUACUAUCUUUUUAUUAUCUAGCCUAAAAAUUAAGAGAAUGUUUACCUAAGACUAAUUAUCUAAUUAGCUAAGAUUAUGACAGAGAUUAAGGUUGGAAAAUACUUUUGAAAAACCAAUUGAGAAGACAAUACCCAAGAAAGAAUCCACCUAGACUUCACUUCUUACCUUUGAAUUAGAUGAUUUAUUCACUUGACUUAUUCCAUAGAAAUCCCUGAUUUAUGUUAAUAUCCCUUUCGAGACUAAAAACAACUGACUCUAGGUUGAUUAAUUGAAAUCUCUUUCUAAUUAAAACCCCUAUAGUUGCAUUAACUUGAUCUUUGGAUUCUCUUAUUAGAUUUGACUCUAAUCCAACAGAUUUAUGUCGUCCUUUCUAUAGGAUUGCAUGCAACUCCGCUUAAUUAUGAAUGAUCUACUCUUAAAUAGGGACUUUUACUCCACUGAAUAAGUGCAUCAAAAACCUGAAUUAAUAUCCUGGAAUAUUAAAGCAAGGAUUAAAACUCACAAUUAAGAAUAAGAACAAAUAUUUAUCAUAUAAAUCAAAAAGUAAUAAGAUUCAUCUUAGGUUUCAUCUGCCUUAGGUAUUUAGGGAGUUUAGUUCAUGAUAAUAAUGGAAAACAUCUCAAAGUAUGGAAAACAACAAAACAUAAAGAAACCCAAAGAACUAGGAAAUUGGAUGGAAAUCUUUAGUCUUGAUGUAGAUCCUGCCUCCGAGGUGAUUUCGAUGGUUGUUUUUGAGUACUUCCCUACCUUCUUCUCUACGUAUCUUCAUUAAUCCUCUUCUAGGGUGUUUAUAUAGGCUUUAGAAUGCUUCAAAACCCUUAAAAGUGACCUUUUCCCAGUAGAACUAGAUUGGGGCUCCACAGAGACAUGGCUGUGUGCCACGCCCGUGUGAAGGUGCUUAGGUCGUGUACAAUUCUGACUUCGAUUAAUGUUGACACGGCUAGGACACACGGGCAUGUGGUCUACCCAUGUGUCACACACGGGCGUGUGGAAGUGCCUAGGCCGUGUGAAACUCUGAUUUAGGCCCAAUUUGUCUGUUUUUGGCCCAUUUCUUGCUCUUUUCGCCAUCUUAAGCUCUUCUGAGUAUAAAAUAUGAAUUUAAAGGAUUAGGAGCACUGAAAUUAAUAAAACCAAGGAAAAUCAUCCAUAAAUAUGUCAAGCAUAGGGUAAAAAUAUGUAUAUAUUAUGGUUUAUCAAUGAUAUUCUGAUUUACUCACGAGAUGAGUAUGAACAUGCUAGGCAUUUAAAAAUUGUAUUGCAGACUAUGAGGGAUAAGAAAUUGUUUGCUAAAUUUAAUAAAAGUGAGUUUUGUCUCUGAGAAGUUAUAUUUUUGGGACAUAUCAUUUCAGGUGAUGGUAUUCGCGUUGGUCCAAGUAAGAUUUCGUCAAUUGUUGAAUGGAAACCACUAAGGAAUGUAAUUGAACUUAGAAGCUUUUUGGUUUUAGUUGGUUAUUAUUGGCAUUUUGCCAAAGGAUUUUAGAUAAUUGCUACUCCUAUGACCAAGUUGUUGCAAAAAGAUGUUAAGUUUGAAUGGUCUGAGAAAUGUCAAAAGAGCUUUGAACAGUUGAAGGCAUUGUUGACUGAGGCACCGAUUUUAGUGCAACCGAAGUCAAGAAAAGAAUUUGUAAUUUAUAGCAAUGCUUCAUUGAAUGGUUUGGAUUGUGUGUUGAUGAAAGUGGGCAAAGUAGUAGCUUAUGCCUUGAGAUUAUUGAAAUCGGACGAGAAGAAUUAUUCGACGCACAAUUUGGAAUUAGCCGCCAUCAUUUUUGCUUUGAAAAUUUGGUGUCAUCGUUUGUACGAUGAGAAAUGUCAUAUCUUUACUGACAAUAAGAGUUUAAAAUAUUUGAUGAAUCAGAAAGAUCUGAACUUGCGACAACGGAGAUGGCUCGAGUUACUGAAGGAUUAUGAACUAGUGAUUGACUGUCAUCCGGGAAAGGCAAAUGUAGUCGUAGAUGCUUUGAGCAGAAAGUCUUUGUUUACUUUGAGAGCUAUGAAUACGAGAUUGACUUUUUCAAAUGAUGGUUCAAUUUUGGUUGAGUUGAGAGCUAGACCAGUUUUUAUUCAGCAAAAUUUAAGAAGCUUAGAAAAAUGAUAGUGACUUGUAAGCCAAAAGAGCUCAGUGUGAAUCGAGUAGUGAUACAAACUUUUGUAUCAGUUCAGAUGAUUGUUUAAUGCUCCUGGAUAGAGUAUGUGUACCAAAAUAAGAUGAACUUAUUCAGAAAAUUUUACACGAGGCACACAGUGGUUGUUUAUCAGUUUAUCCAAGUAGUACGAAGAUGUACAAUGACUUGAGUAAAUUGUAUUGGUGAUCAGGUAUGAAACGAGAUAUUUCAGAGUUUCUUUUGAGAUGUUUGAUUUGUCAACAAGUAAAAGCUGAACACCAAGUGCCUUCGGGUUUACUUUAGCCAGUGAUGGUACCCGAGCGUAAAUGGGAUAGAAUUACGAUGGACUUUGUGAUGGGUUUGCCUUUAACUCCAAAAAAGAAAGAUGUCGUCUGGGUUUUUGUUAAUUGAUUGACCAAAUCAGCUCAUUUUAUUCUGGUAUGCACUGACUACUCACUUGAUAAGUUAGCUGAAUUGUACAUUUCUGAGAUUGUGAGCUUGCAAGGAGUGCUUAUUUCUAUUAUUUCGGAUAGAGAUCCAAGGUUUACUUCGAGAAUUUGGAUGAAAUUACAAUAGGCUUUGGAUAAUAAGUUAAAUUUUAGUACCGCAUUUCAUCCGCAAAACCAAUGGUCAAUCCGUAAGAGGAAUUCAUAUUCUUUAAGAUAUGCUCUGAUGUUGUGUUCUAGAAUUUGAAGGUAGUUGAGAAAGAUAUCUACCCUUGGUCAAAUUUGCUUAUAACAGCAGUUUUCAGUCAAGUAUAAAGAUGGCACCGUAUGAGGCAUUGUAUGGCCGCAAGUGUCGAACUCCAUUGUAUUGGACAGAACUUAGUGAGAGACAGGUUCAUGGGGUUGAUUUGGUUAGAGAAACUGAAAAAAAGUAAAGGUAAUCCAUGAUUGCUUGAAAGCCACUUCAGAUUGACAAAAGUUGUACAUAGGUUUGAAAAGAAAAGAAAUCAAAUUUUAGAUUGGUGAUAAAGUAUUUUUGAAAGUAUCUUCGUGGAAGAAGAUUCUAAGAUUUGGCUGUAAAGGUAAGUUGAGUCCGCGUUUCAUUGGGCCGUAUGAUUACUAAAAGAAUAGGGCAAGUGGCAUAUCAGUUAGCUUUACCGAUAGAGCUACAAAGGAUUCAUAAUGUGUUUCAUGUGUCGAUGUUGUGAUGAUACCAUUCUGAUCCCUCACAUGUGAUUUCAUCAAUAGAAAUUGAGAUUCGACUUGAUAUGACUUAUGGUGAGGAACCAAUCAAGAUUUUAGCUCGGAAAGUUAAACAAUUGGAAAAUAAAAGCAUAGACUUAUUGAAAGUUUUGUGGAAGAGACAUGGGGUUGAAGAGACUACGUGGGAACCCAAGGAAGCUAUGAGAAAACAGUACCCAAAACUAUUUUUCGGUAAGAUUUUUGAGGGUGAAAAUCCUUAAAGCGGAGAGAGUUGUAAUAGCCCGAUUUUAGGUCUAGUUAGAACAGUGGUUUCAGGACCACAAAUCUGGCGAAGAAAAAAAUUAUUUUUCUUAUUUUUAUGGUCUACAGUUUUAUGGAAUGAUUCUGUGAAAUUUUCGUUCAAAAAUUUUGACGUUUGACUACUCAAUUUAGCAAAAAGGACUAAAAUGUAAAAAGUGCAAAACUUGAUUUCUAGAAGUUAGAGGUGUCUAAUUGCUAUGAAAUUUUAAAUUGAAGGUCCUUAGAUGGUAAUUAGACCAUUUGUUAAGUUAGUGGACAAAAAUGGACAUGAAGCAAGAGAAAUAUUAUGUUUUAAGAUAGGGGCAUUUUGGUCAUUUGGUUAAUAAAUGAAUUUAUAAGCAAAAUAAAAGCCAAUUUUUGCUCAUUUUCUUCUCCCAUGGCCGAAUAUAUAUAAGGAAGACAUAGCUAGGGUUUUUCCAUCUUCCAAGCUCGAUUCUAGCCCUGUUUUUAAUGAUUUUCAUGUUUUUGCGAUCCUUGUAACCUAAUUUAGCUAUUUCAAGGACUAAUUUAAAAGAAGGAUGAAGCUUAAAAUUUUACCCAUGCUAUGUGUAUUUUGAUGUCUAAUGGUAGAAAAUGCAUGUUCGCUGUAAGAUAAACAACUUUUGCUAAAUGAUUUUUGAUGGAAAUGUUAAAAAGGACCUAUUUGUAAAAGUUACAAAAAUGAGUAGUAAAAGUGUGAUUAAAUGAAAAAUGUGGGCUAGUAUGAGUAUGCUAAAGAUUCGGCUAAGCUUGGGUAACGAAGAAAUUGGAUGAAAAUCAUUUUACGAACGUAAGGACUAAACUAUAAAAAUGUGAAACGUUAGGGGAAAAAUGUAAUUUUUUCCAUAAUAUGAUUUUGGGACUUAAUUGAACAAUGUGAAUAUUAAAAGAGUUAAAUUUGUCAUUAUAGAUCAAGAAAAAUGAGGUUCGGACCUAGGUUGGAGGAAAAACAAAGUGUUUGACGAUUAGGUCAAAUUCUCCUAUUUUUGCACUGAGGUAAGUUCGUAUAUAAAUAAUGCAUUGUUAUAUUUUUAUGUUUUAAAUGCUUUAAAAUUGUAUGAAUUGUGAUUGACUCUUUGGAUGUAUUCGACAAAGUUUUUGACGAGCGAGAAAUCCUGGUUGAACCUUAGGAAUAGAAUAGGAUAUGAGUGACAUGUCACUAGGAACCCAUGUGUAUAUGUGUUUAUGUGAUCCAGGUGCUGGACUCGUAUGUCCUAGCAGUGGAUGGGUAGUUUGGCAUGAGUUGCGGAUACGUGAUAACUUGUGUGAGCAACACUGUAUAGCUACGUCCUGACUGACAGCUUGUGUGAGCAGGCCCGUGAAUAGCUCGAAAAUGAACCUAUAUGUAUUAUGAGAUAUGAGGUAGCUUUGGCUACAUAUAUUGCACUUAUGUGCAAGAUUUCCAAGUAUCUGUUAAUAUUCCAAGUGUACAAUGGGAAUGUCAAAGUUGAGAAAGAUUAUGGUCAUGUUGCGAGUUGGUAUAGGUAUGUAUGUAAAUCUCAUACGUAAUGAGCUCGAUGUGUGAUGAACCAUUGGUAAGGUUGUGAUUAAGUAAGUUAUGACUAUAAGAUUUUAAUAACAUUCAUGCUAAUUUUCAUCAAGUUAAUUGCAUGUUAAAUGUGUAGUUAUGAUGCUUAUUAUUUACAUAGGAACUGGCUAAGCUUUAUUGCUUACUCCCCUUGCUUUCCCUUAUCUUAUAGUAUCACCAAGCUAGCUCGGGGAUUGGAGAUCGUCGGAGAUCUACUCACACUAUCAACAAUUAUUUUUGUACCAAUGAUUUCAAAAUUUUGAGUUAUGGCAUGUAUAGAGGAUUGGUCAUUUUGUUAUGUGUCAUAAUUGAUUUGGCCAAAUGUGUUGGCUUAUAUUGGUUGGAAGUUCAUUUUGUACAAGGCAAUUUGGAAUUGGCUACUAUUGGUAUAAGCAAUUUAUACGAUGAUGUCUUUAAUGGAUGUGAGAGUUUACAUGAUUUGAGUUGAUAAUUAUGUGAUGUUUGUGUAUGAUAGAUGGCAGCAUGUGAAUGAUGUGUUGAUGUCUUGGUUGUGGCUGAUUUGGUUGUAUGUAUAUGCAUGGAUUAGUGUUAUGGUAUAUUAUGUAGAUGUGUGCAUUAACGGGUGGCAAAAUGGCUUGGUAAAUAGCCUUAUUUUUGUUAGCACGGGUAGACACACGGGCGUGUGUCUAGGCCGUGUGUGACACACGGUCUACCCCAUGGGCAUGUGUUACGAACAUGUGUCCUCUCCACCUAAAUUUUGAGAAGAAAAAUACUCAAAAUUGAGGACAUGGGCAGAGAGACGGGCAUGUGUCUCAGUCGUGUGGACGCCACAUCUUAAACACGGGCGUGUGCCCUGGCGUGUGAAGUUUGCACCUAUUUAAUGAAAAAUCAUAAAUUUUGAAUCAACCACACGACCUAGCACACGAGCAUGUGACUUGGUCGUGUGACUUCAAUUUGUUCUUGGGUGACAAACAGAGAGAUACACGGGGUCGAGACAUGGGCGUGUGUGACCAUACGGCCUACCCACACAGGCGUGUGACCCUUGUUUAGUGAAAAAAAUUCCUAAGUUUUGAAAUUUUUUCUAAAGUUCUCAAUUUAGCCCCAAAUCACUUCCGAAGCAUGUUUUGGGCCUCGUAGGCUCGUAUUAGGGACUUUAUGAUUAGAUACAAAAGUUUUAAUUUGGAUGCAAAUUGACGACUCAAAAUUGUAUGAAAGUUUUUGUGAUAAGUCCGAUAAUGCCUCGUACCCUGUUCUGGCGUUGAAUACGAGUAAGGGAUGUUACAAAAAUACUACAUCUAGGGCACCAAAUCCAAUACUCAAAUCGUAACGCAGAAAGAUAACUUGUAUGAGUAGAUAAAACUAAACAUGUACUUUGUCUAAUUGAAAAUGAGAAAACCUAUUAAAAGAAUAAUUUGUCAUAUAUCAAGUCCAAUAGAGGAGAUGCAUUGUCUUGAGGAACAGAAUAGAUGACUCCUAGACGACAGAGACAUGGAUGUGAUUGACUAGACUGACAGUACAUCAGACAGGAGGACCUUAGUAGAAUAGAUCCUAGAUUUGUUUUUUGGGUCUAUUCACUUUUGACAUAACUUAAUCCUAAGUGGAUGAAAAUCUAUGUGUAUGUGAAUCAUAUACUUUGAUGUAAGUAAAAGCUUGAUUUCAAAAAAAAAAAUUUGAAAGUUGGUGCAAUGCGUAGACGACUUUUGUAGUAUGUAGCAUCAUUCCACGAUAGUGGAAUUCAUCACCCAACUAAAGGGUAGAUGAUAUCCUAUAUUGACAUUACAUGAUAAAUGAAAAGUAAACGUGGCCAUGAGUCAUUUGUCUUUGUGAUAAAUGACUUGAUUGCUAGUUGAUAGUAAUUAACUUUUCAAAAAAGAAGAUGUAACAGUUACCAUGAGACAACAUAUGAUCAUAUUAGGAGAACACAUUUAUCCUAAAGAGAUUAAGGAUAUCCUAAAAGGGUAACACUCUGAUGACAAGAUCAUUGGCCGAACACUUAUUAAGUAGCUUUCAUAGUGAUAUAUAAUUAGGAAAAACUUAAUCAUGAUAUUAUGGUGGAAAUACUUCGUGACUAAAUAAGUUUAUAAUUCAUAGGUGAAAAGCUAAAACUUAAUUAUAAAAUAUUUGAGCCCUAAUUAUAUAUGUCCAAUCGAUCCCUCUACUAACCCGUUGAAACAAAAAAUGAAUUGCAUGUAGAACCAAAUGGAUAGAAAUGAAUAAAAUGAUGAAAUAAGGGAAAUGGGUUGCAUUCACAAAUGAAUGUGUUUUCUUGCUAAGCACAGAAAUGACUUGAGCAUUAAUUGAAGUUUUUUUUUUCAAAUUAUUAUUUAAUUAAUUAUAAUUAAUGAACUCAAGUUAAAAAAUUGAAUUAAACUAAUUAAUUAUGAAUCGUUGAAUAAAGAAAUUAAAUAUAUUUUUCUCAUAAAUUAUUUUACGUUAAAGUUGUCUUGACUUUAAUAAAAUUAGAAUUGGUUUGAGAAAAUUAUUUAGUUCAGAAAUUAAUUUACUAAAUAAAUAAUAUUUAUUUUGGGAAAUAUGAAACAAGUAUUUGAUUGGAUUGAAUUAUAAAGUGUUGGGUCAAAAGUCUAAGAAGUACAUAUAAUGAGGACCAAUACAUAAGAGGCUUAAUUCACCUCAUAAGAGAAGAGAGAGGUGACAACCCUAGUAAUAUUUACUAGUGUGUUGUAAUGCGUAGGUUUGUGCAAGUGUAGAUAGUCGUUAUCAAGUAACAAGUAAGUAAAAGAAUUAUCGUCUCCACAGUGACUGUGUAUGUUAAUCAGUUAAUUGGAAAAUUAAAAUUUUACGAAUUGAUGAUUAGAACACAAUAUUUUGAGUGAUGGAUGAUUAAACUAAAUUAAAUUAUAUAGAUGCUAAUCCCUAAUGCAAUUCUUAUCUAAGUAUGAUAAUUAACUAAAAUGUAUGAGAUGAAUUUAACAGCAACAACACAAACUUUAACAAUCAAUAACAUGAAUAGGCUAGAAUAAUUACAUCAUUCAACUUAAUUCAUUUUUCUCAUGUUUAACAGUGUUCGAAAAAUAUUCCAUGGCAACUCUACCUUUCAUGGGUUUGAAACCAAAUUAAGUCCUUUCAGAAUAUUUUACUAAGGAAAACAUGCAUUUUAUUAAUCAUAUUAAACAAGGACAGGUUAGGUUUGAAAAAAUUUAAUCACAUAAACCUAAAAACUAUGCUAGAUAAUAGAGCUCGUUAAAGUUAUUAUGAACCUUUAAUUUAGACAGAUUAGGAUCUAAAUUAAGAAUGUACUCUUCAACUAUUGUGUCAAUUAGUCGUCGUCUGGUUAGGAUAACUCAGCUAGUUCUAAUGCAUCUAAUCACGUAUGAAUGAAAUACAUGUCUGAGUUUAAUUGAAAACAUGAAUAACUGAGGAACAAACACUGUAAAUAUAAUUUAUACAAACUUCAUGAAAUUGAUGCAAUCAUCCUAGCUAAACAUAUUUAAGCUACCAUUGUUGAUGACAAGAUAACAAAACACAUUACAAACAUGAUUAAAAUAAAAGUAACAAGCAAAGGAAGAAUAAACUCUAUUCAAAUCAGCAACCUUGUGAAAUUUGAUUGAAGAAGUUUCCUCCUAUCCUCAUGUUUCUCCUUUGCUAAGGGCUUUUCAAGUUUGCCGACCAAGAGUGAUCUUCUCAAGGUUUUGUUGGCUAAGAAUGAAAAGAAAUAUGAGAUGUUAUGCGUGGGAAUGAAGAGAGGGAAUGAGAGAAUGGAAGAGAAAUGUUACAUGAAGGAUGAAUGAGGGAUGAUUGAAAUGUGAGAUGGGAGUGGAUAUUUAUACAUGAGGUUGGUGGAGGAGUUUACUAAAUAUGGCAUCAAAGAUCCCUUAGACUUCUCCCACCUUUGGCCAACCAUAAUAUGUGGAAAGGAGGGUAGGUUGGUUGCUUGAUUCAAGUAUAUAAUCAUGCUUGAAUCAUGCAAGGGAUGGACGUGUGACAACUCUAAUUUGACCCUAGUCGGGAAGUGGUUUCGGGACCACAAAACUGAGUCACAAAAUUAUUUAAAUGCUCUUUUCUAUGUUUAUUAUUUGUGAAGUAUCAUGUGUGAAAGUAUCAUGUCUAAAUUUUGUCAUUUGAAUGUGAAAUUAUGAAAAAAGGACUUAUGUGAUAAACUUGAAGAAUGUGUUAGGAAGAAAUGAGGUGACCGAAUAAUGCAUGGCUCAUUAAAAGGGAGGACUUGCAUGUCAAAUUGUCCAAUUUAAAGUUAGUGGCCGGCCAUGAUAAUGAUGAUUUGUAAUAUAUGCAUUUUAUAUAUAUAAAAAAUAUAAUUAUUAAAUGUUUUAUAAUAUGAAAUAAGAAUUAAUAAAACAAAAAUGGGUGAAAAAGAACAAAGUUUGUUCAUCUUUGUUCUUCCUUAGCCGAAAAAACCAAGUAAAAGAGAAAAGGAAAAGUUUCUAAGAAGUUCAGUCAUGCUUGUAACUAGAUUGAGGUAUGUUUGAUAUUAUUCUUUGAAAUUCAUGUAUAUUUUAAGUUGUUAGUUUGAAUUCUACCUAGCCCAUGGUUCAAAUUUUGCUAUUUGAUGGAGAUGAUAUUCGGCCAUGGAUGUUGUAUUUCUUGGUUGGUGUUUUGAUGUUUUUGUGAUGAGGCGUGAAGAUGGUUGAUUUUGAGUGUUUAAUAAAAAGGAUUGGAUGGGAGUGUGUGUGAAAUAGCAAAUGAUGAGUCUUGGUAACUUCAUGAAGUGUUCGGCCAUCGUGUUAAAAUGUUAUACUUGUGCUUAAAUUUGGAAUUUAAUAGUUAUAUGGUUAGUAUGGGUAUAGAUGACCGAAUAUGAACAUGAAUUAUGAUGUGAAUGAAUUGUUGUUAAAUAAUGGCCGAAUGUGCUUAAAUCCAUGCAAGGUUGGGUUUGUUAGUAAAUUGGGAUAAAUAGAAUGAAAUUACCAUUUGUAAAUUGUAAAUGUGAGAUCAUCUUUGAUUGAAUUGAAAAUGUCCUUGUGCUAUAAUCGUUUAAGCGGUUAGAAAGAUUGCCGAAUAUGAAUUAAAGAGAGAAAUGAGGUAAAGGAUGAGUUUGAGCUUGUAAAUGAUAUAUGUGAUUUAAUUGAGAAUUUAUAAUCGACUAAAGUGAUCAUUGUGUAAUUAUUUAUAUAUUUUUAUUUAUUUAUAAUGGCCGAAUGUAGCAUGAAUAAGGAUGUGAAUAAAUUCUAGUUAUAGAGGUUGUCAAUGAAAAAUAUGAGUUGGAUGAGCUAAUGUCGAAUGGACUUGUGGAAUUAAGUAUUAAAAGAUUUUUUAAUUAAUUAGUUAAGUGAUAUUCGGCUAUAUGAACAGUAUGUGCACUUGAUGUUAUAUUCCGGUCUAAGAGUGGUUGUAUGAAAGUAAGGUUAAUGAAUGUAGUAGUGCCAUGUGAAGUGUGUAAAUUACAUGACUUCAAUAAAUGUUGUUUGUGUUUUGAGACUUAUCAAUGUUUUUUUUUUAUGUGCCGACUGUGAUUUUGGAUGAAUGAGAUGUGAUAAUUAUAGUAUUUUAUAAAUUGCCGAAUGUGGUUUUAAAUAAUAGAGAUGUGAUAAGUUGAAUUUGUUAAUCAAGCUCAAGAGCAUAAGGAGCCAAUUUUGGAUAAAGGGAAAGUGAAACUAGUCGAUUAGUGAAUCCGUAGUUAUUUGAUAAAAUCCAAGGUAAGUUCUUAAGUGUUUGUGUUUGUUCAUGUUAUAUGCUUAAGAGUUAAAUAAUCAUAAUUAAGAAGAUGUUUGAUUGUAUAUAUAUACAUAUGUUCUUUGUGUUGAAUAAAUAUUAAAUUAAAGUUAUGAGCCGUAUGUGACUAGCAUAUCUAGUCGACUUUGAUACUAUUAAAUGAUGUACUAAGAUAUGUGUUCCAAUGUGGAAAUUAAACCCUAUGUGGUUGAAAGGAUGAAAAUCUUUGUUCAUAGAUAUGUGUUUCAGUUAUACGUAAUUGAAGUAUAAGUUAUGAAAGUAUGAAAGAACAGGUGAAUUAUUUAUCGAAAUGUGAUAUUCGAGCCUAGGCCUAGCCAGCUUUAAGAUGGUGAAUAAUAUUAUUAGGCUUCGGGCCUAGCAGGCUCUAAUGCCGGUGAGAUAAUAUCGGGCUUCGGGCCUAGCAGGCUAUAAUGCCGGUGAAUGAUAUCGGGCUUCCAGCCUAGCAGGCGAAAUGCCGGUGAAUGAGUUCAGACUUAAAGUCUAGCAGGCUUCGUGCCGGUGAUGAAUUCGGGUUUAAAACCUAGCAGGCUAAAUGCUGGUGAUUUGAUAAAAGUCUAAGACUAUGAGACCUUAUGUUAAAUCGGCAAUUGAAUUCAUUCAAUACAUUAAGUUGGCCAGGUAUGUGAUAUAUACUUAUACAUGUUAGAUCGAUUGGAAUUGAAUCAUGAAUGUGAAAAUGAGAAGCAUAGGUGAAGAUGUCAUACGUGUAUGUGUGUAUUCGGUCAUGGUGAAAGGUUAUAUGAAUUAUGUGAAAUACCAAUUAGAUAUGAAUGAAGAAAGUAACUGUGGUUAUGAAAUGGUACAAUGGUUAAAUUCGGUUGAAUUAAAGUUGACACUGAAGUAUUUAAAUGCCUAUGUCAUAUAUGUGAGUAAAGGUAAAACCAUCGUAAAUUAUCGAUAAGGGUGGGCUAUGUGCGGAACCAUCUUAUAAUUGCUAAUUUGAAUGGUUGUGUGCGAAUUAUUGAGCAUGAUGUAUUGUAUUGAGAUUAUUCUUAAGUGAAAUUAUAGAUAAGUGAUGAAUUUGAUUGGUGAUAUACAUGUUUAAAUAAUAUGAAUGUAAAGAAUGUGUGAAGGAGUAAAUUUGUAAUAAAUCUGCUUGGGACAGCAGCAGUAAUGUGAUCUUGGAAAAUCACCAUAAAUUGUGGGAGUUGAGUUAGGAGCUGAAUAAAUUAUGUAAUUAAAGCUUAAUGAGUCUAGUUUCUUAUAAAAAACCGUGUAAGCAAAAGAAUUGCUGAUAAUGAGAUAUUUGAAGUGGCGUGAGACAGAGUCAAAUGACUUCGGGGUCCCCUGUUCUGUUUUUAAAAAAUCAUUAUAAUUUGUAAAAAAAUGGUUAUAAGAUAAAAUUUAUAUGCUUAGACUUCUUAAUUACUCUAGUUUCAAAUUAAAUCAACGAGAACAUAUUUUGAAUUCUGUAAAAUGAGAAAUUUGAUUCGUAGUGAAGAGUGGUCAGAUUAGUCAAACAGUGAAGCAGGGGAAACUUUAAGAAAAAUCUGGAAUUGAUUGGCCAAACCAAAAAUUCUGAAACUUUUAUGGAUAGAAGAUAUGUGAGUCUAUUUUCAGGAAAAAUUAACGACAAUUGAUUUGGAGUUUAGUAGCUCCAGUUAUAAAUAAUUUAGUGACUAUUGCUCAGGAAGAAAACUUGUAGUGAAUUUGUGAUUAUGUUGUAAACAUUGAUAAAACUUGUUAAUGAGUUGCUUAUUGUUUUCUUAUGAACUUACUAAGCGUAAAGCUUACUCCCCUUUUGUUUCCCAUAUUCCCUAGGGUUUCCAGGUUAGCUCGGGUUGGAGGCCGUCAGAGAUAUCAUCACAUUGUCGAGUCUACGCUAUCGGCGUAAGUAAAUCUUAGUGUAUCGAGUCUAUGGCAUGUAUAGGGUUGUAAAGUUGAGUAUGUAAUAUUAUGAUUAAGCCAAAGACUUUGGCUUGUUAUUAAGGUAGUUUGAUUAUUCAUAUGCUUGUAUGUUAUUAUCUCCUGUGAUGUGGUUUAUAGCAUGUAUAUUUAGAAUUUGAAUUGUGAUUCAUUGUUGAGUAAGUAAAUGAUACAAGACUAAGAUAUUGGUAAAUAUUUAAUAAUGCCUCAUGAAUGUUUUGGGGCCUUGUAAACCAGAUUAACGAAUAAUAUACGCGUGUAUGAAAAUUUUAAAAUUGAUCAAAAAUUUUUACGGCUUGGUUAUAUAAAUGGUUGAGUUUAAAUCUGGUAGCACCUCGAACCCUUUUCCGGCGAGGAAUAUGGGUGAAGGGUGUUCAUUUAGUGGCAUCAGAGCAUGGUUUAGUCGAUUCUCUGACUAACCUAGCUUAAGAGAGUCUAGCUAUACAUGCCAUAGUAUUACUCGUGAUAGUGUGAUAUCUCCUGGCCCUAACAAAAUUAUUGGUUAAGACAGGAAUGAGUUCCAACCGAGCAAAUCUUGAUAGAGAUAAGAGUAAAAUUGAGAUUAAUGAAUCAUGGUUGUGAUAUGCUGAAAAUGGGAAAGGUAUGAAAAGAAAUUUAUGAUUCUUUUUACAUGAACUACUACUCAUUUUGUGAUACUAAUGAGUUAAGGAAUAGGGAAACGUGGAAUGAAAUGAAAGUUAAGUUGUGAUAAGCUCUUUCGUACAUGUCAGUAUUCACAUGAUGAUACGUACCUAACUCAUUUGGCUUAGUAAUUAUGAGGAGAAAAAUUGUUUGAAAUGACAAAAUGUAUGAAUAAAUGCUUUUAUUGCCUGGUUAGUAAUCAGUAUAUGCAUGAGAUUGACAUUUAUGUCUAGACUAAUGAAGUCAAUAUGUCGUAAUGUUAUGCUUUAUAAUCUCAGUUACAGAUUCAUAAAUGUCACAAUAGCAUGAAAAUUGUAAUGAAAGAUCAAAUUGGGUGGAACGCAGGGAAUGAGUACGAUCGUUUACUAAUGAAUUGACGAAAAAGACCAUGGUUGGACCGUGGCAAUACAUGAAAUAUGAAAGCCAAUGUAAAACAUGUCUGGGACAUGCAUCGGCCUCGUAGGUGCAAGUGUAAGACCUGUCUGGGACAGGCAUCGUCAUCGAGACAGAGGAGCUAGUGUAAGACCCAUCUAGGACGUGGCAUCGGCUCAACUAGUGCUAAGCGUAAGACCUAUCUGGGAUAGGCAUCGGCACGAAAAUAGCAGAGCUAGUAUAAGACCAUAGUUGGACUAUAGCAUCAAGUAGGCGAUGUACUCAAAACCAUAAGACAUUCUCCAAUUUGAUAAAUAGUGACAAGUGAUCAAGAUUAGACGUGGAAACUUGAUAAGAAAUUUUUGGUAAUUUGGGUAAAUGAAAUGAAAGUUUGAAUUGUGAUAAAUUCACUUAUGUUUUGCUAACAUUCAUAGGAAAUAAAGUUGCAUGUAUUACUGAGAUGUAUGAAAACGUGUUCGUAAUAAGUUGGAAAUUUGAAAUGUUUGAAUCAAUGUGCGUAAUGCUAUGUUGUUGUUGAAUGUGUACUUGCUUGAGAGUUAAAAGUUUAUAGGCUUUACAAUUUUCGCCCCUUACCAGAAUAGAGUUAUACAGUGAGAUUCUCGAGAGAUACAUUGCAUGAGUUUGCAAAAGUGAAAUUAAAGAGUACAAUAGUGUAAUAGUAUGGGAUUAGUGAAAACAGAAUUAGACGGUUGAGUCAUGAUUGAAUUAUAUUGAUGGCUAAGUGUAGUAGUUAUAGUCGGGCAGUUACUAUGACUUCUUCGGGGCAUUCUAUGUGUACAUUUCUCUUUAGAAGUAUAUGUGAUGGUUUAAUUUCAGAAGGAAUAUGAGAACAUUAGUUUAGCAUACUAAUAAACGAAAGCAUCAUUGGUUUGUUUGGGCUAUUUUUGACAUCGCUAUGUCUUUCUUUGGUAUUUAUUCCCAUAUGUUAAUAUGAAAAUCAACAGAAAAAUCUGUAUGAUGCUAAUACUCUGUUUCUACUGAUUAUUGUUCGGUUGAAUAUUCGUGAAGAGUAUAUUGUCUCUGUGACUAUGGAUUUUAGUAAUUAUGAGUGACAUUGUUCUUUCUGGACAUUUUUUGGGAUAUCAUCGGAAUUGAUAUCAUUCUAUAUGGGUGGUAAUUCACUGAUAUUUUGUGUAACUUCAGACAUUGAAAUUUUGCUAUAUCGGUUUCUUAUGAUUUCAUGUGAUUAUCUGUAAGAAAUAUUUAUUUGACAGAGUUGAUUAUGUUUAUUAUAAUUAUAAUUUCUGGCUUGAAAUGUGAGAGUAUAGUGGUACUGUCAUCAGAGUUAUAGAAGUUGUGAUUCUGCAUUGGUUGCUGUUUAAACCAUAUUUGAUUCUCUUCUAUGUUCAAAUGUUUCAUCAACAAUCGGGAUAAUAUUUAUUAUAGGGUUGAGACAUUUUUCCUAUUAAGGCCCAAAGAUGUCUAUCUAGUUAACGUGACUUCAGUAUAAUUCAGAGUUUCGAUGAUUAUUAUAUGAGACAGUUUUAUUAUAAACUUUUUCCUAGUUAUUGUGAAAGAUUCGACAUCAUUAAAAGUGAAAAUGAUAGAAGAUAAAGAUUAAAUCUGUAUAGUGAUAUUUCAGAGGUUAUCUUUCUAGCAAGAAAAAAGAUGUGAUUUGAGGGAUAGUCUAAAAGAAGAAUCUGUAUUCGUGAAGAUUUGGUACAAAAAUUAAAUCUGUUUUGGGGCCUUGUAAGCCCGAUUAAAGGAUAAUAUAUGCGUGUAUGAAAAUUUUAAAAUUGAUGAAAAUUUUUUACAGCCUGGUUUUAUAUAAAUGGUUGAGUUUAAAUCUGGUAGCACCUCAAACCUUGUUCUGGCGAGGAAUACGAGCGAAGGGUGUUACAGGACGGUUUCUUGAACAAACGUAGUGUGCUAAUUUUCAAUGAUUUUCCAAGUGUUGGGACCUCCAAAUAAUUGUCACAAAAGCUGAUUUUUGGCUGCCAAAAUAUCUUAGCCAAAUUAGGCUUUCUUCUUCUUGUUUGGAUGAUUGCGUGACCCAUUUAAUAAUUAGACUUGUCCACUACGUAGCACCAUUUUUCACUGGGUCAAAGCAACAUCUUCAUGACCCAAUUUUCAUGGUUUUACCGUCCAAGUACGGUAGAAUUGCUCAUGUCCAUGAAAAAAUUAUAAUAAGCUCUCUAUUAAAUCAACUUCAUGGUCCCACUGUAGAAAUUAAAUAUAGCACAUUAAUAAAUGACAUGAAAUAAUUUAAUUUAUGCACAAAAUUAACAUAAUAAAGCACAAAUUUGCAUAUUUUUAUAAAUUCAUGUCCAUUGUCAGAAUAUAAGCAAAAUUCACUUAAUUAAUUAACAAAUACUCGAGAUUAGUAUUCUUUUUAAGUAAAAAGGUGGUAAAAGCUACUAGUAAAACCCUAUAUAAUUUAGAGUUUACACGUGUGCCACCCACCUAUACUCUAGUUAAGGUAAGAGUGUGUUUUAUAUUCAAAAAAUAUUAUUUUACAGGGGCAAGUUCAACCAAGAUUCUUGUAUCUCUCCCGAUAAAUAGAUGACAUUGGUUGACCUAAAAUCAUAAUGUUUUAGACAUUGUUAUUGUGCUAGAAAAAAGUGGGAUUUAUUAUCUAAGAAUAAUUUCUAUUUUCUGGGAAUUAGAUUUUUUUCAAUUUCUAUUAGAGAGAAAAUACUUUCUUACUUAAAGUAAUCACAUUGUUUUUUUUGUAUUUGGUUCAUGUUGGUCGAGCCCACACUCAAUGCAAUUCAGGGUAAGAGGAUAAAGGAGAAGGUUGUUCAGUUGAAAGCUAGGAUUUACUUGAAUCUGUCUCACACAAAUGACAUGAAAUAUUCGAUUAGAGUUUUUUGGUAUAAAUAUCACAAACUGUCGAUUUUGAAUGAAAUGAUAAAAAACCAUUUUCUUAACCAAUUUUUCCAGCAAUUGGUAUCAAAUUUGUAUUGUGCUAUGUUUAUUGUAUAAACUAAUAUCAAAUAUUUUCUCUAUUCUUCAUGUUUCAUUAAUUUUCUUAAGAUGUGACAUUCUUGUAAUUUUAUGUGUAUUUUCGGUUAUGAAUGUGAAUGAAUGUAUUUAAUUAUUUUAUUAUAUAUGAUAAAAGUAAUAUUGUCAAAUUUGUUAUUCCUAGAAAUUAGAUUGGAUGUAAUUUUAUGUUUUUAUGAAUAUUGGGAUAUGUAUUAGAUCGUGGACUAUGAUCUCCACAACCUAAUUCAUGUAGUCAAAAAAAAGUUAGGGUUUUUGUAUCCUAAUUUUUUGGCAAAUGUCAAAAAACCGAGAUGCAUCCAAAAAUUGAUUGAGAUGACACAAACCUGACCCAACCGAAAAAAGAUCGGUAGUGGGUGUAACAACCCAUUUUCAGUGAAAUCAGAACAGUGGUUUCGAGAACACAAAUCUGAGCCAGAAAGAAAAUUUAUUUUAACAUUAUUGUAUGAUCCGUAAUAUGAUAGGAAUGUUAUAUAAAAAUUUUGAUAAGAAAAUUUUAUCAAUUAUGUGUUUAAUUAGGGAAAAGACCAAAUUGCAUAAAAUACAAAAGUUGAAUUCUUGUAAUUAAAAGGAUCAAUUAACUAUGGAAUUCAAAACUUUAGGUCCUUAUAUGGUAAUUAGACCAUUAAAGAAAAGUUAGUAGAUACAUUUGAUGAAUCAUCCAUGGAAAUUUAGAAAAAGAAAAGGACUAAAUUGGAAAUGAGAAAAAUUAAAAGAUGAUAAAUAUUUAAAUAAGAAGUAAUAUCAUUUUAUAUCAUCUUCAUCCCCAAACACAUGGAAACCCUAGGAAAGAGAAAACAAACUUUCUUGGCUUGAAUAGGUAUGUUUUCUUAUCUCAUUUUUAGUAAUUUUUAUAUUUUUGAGAUCGGGAUAGCUUAAUCUAUUUAUUUUGGGGAUUAAUUUGAAAAGUUAUCAAAGUAAAAAAGUUUUACCGUGGAUGAAUGUCCUGAAAUUUUGAAAUUUAUGGUAGAAAAUGAAAGGUUAUUGAUAGAUAAACAACUUUUACAAGGUGAAUUUUGAUGAAAUUAUGAUUUAGGGGCCAAAUUGCAAAGAUGUAAAAAUUAUGAAAAAUUCUGAAUUUUGUGAAAUACAUGUGCUGUAAAUGUUAUGUGAAAAUUUUGGUUAGGCUUGGAAUAAGGAUUAAAUUUCAUGAAUUUCAUUUUCCGAGCUUAGGGAUGAAAUUGGAGUUUAUGAAGAGUAUAAGGGCAAAAUAGUAACUUUGCCUAGGGUGUAAAUUGAAUCCAAUUGAAUACGAAAUGUAAUAAAUUGAUGAUUUAAUUCAUUUAUAUAGGUUCGAAUAACUCAAAUUUGAAGCUAGAUCGAGGAAAAGAAAAGGUGUCAGAUUCUAGAUCGAGGAAAAGAAAAGGUCUCGGAUUAGUAGGCUUUUUGUAACACCCCUAACCCGUGUUCGCCGCCGAACGGGUUACAAGGCAUUAUCAAACAAAAUUCAUCGUUUAAUAAUUAUCAUCAUUUUAAUAUCACAGUUAAACAUAAAUGUUAUAACAUUUCUAUAAUAUACAAUUCAUAGACAAUAUUAAAUCCUAUCAAAUACAAAGCAUUCAUUAAAGGCAAGGAUUUCUUACAUACAUAUAUAAAAUAAAUAACGUAUAUAUAUAUAAAUCACCUGAUCAUGAUCUAAUUUCAUUUGGCAUCUAAUCAUUAUCAUUUAUACCUUUCAUAAGGUCAUUUAUAAAAUUCAUAAAGAUGCCAAAUUUCAAACAUCUAAUAUACACAUGAUUUAAUAAUCAAAGUACCAUAAAACAAAGUCAAUUUUUAUUUUUUUUUUAUUUUUUAUCUUGUAUGAACUCAUCUAAUUUAAUCAAACAUAAAUCAAUGUCCAUUUAUUCAUUUUAUCAACCAAAGUCGAAUUUAAUUAUACUUAUUAAAGAUCUAUUAGCAACUUUCUCAUUCAUAAAACGUGCAUAAAAUCUCACAUCCAAAAAUCUUCCAAGUACACAAAUAAAUUAUUUCUUCUAGAACCGAUUAUCAACUAAUCAAUAUCAAAUGCCCAAUUUAUACUAUAGUCAACGGCAUACAUCCUUAAUAAUUUCAUAUCAACAAUCCAUUCUUAUGCAUGAUAUAUCCAUAAUCUAACCAUACCAACAGAUCAUGAAUUCAUUUGCAUAUACCAAGAAUACUAAAUUAAUUCCAUCACAUAUAUAUUUAUAUAUUAUAGCAUUACUUAAUUAUGAAAUCAACCAUAAUUUACUUAAGUUUAAACAUCAUAUUAGAUGCCAUAAGUACAACUCAAAUCCAACCAACAAAAAUACUAGACUAUACAUGCCAUAAGUUCAAAUUAAACAUUCAUUAAUACCGAAAUACACGAUAGUGUUGUGAACUUCACGGACGAUCCCCGAGCAUGUAAUGACUUCUAAAAUCUAUAAAAUAAAAACAAGUAAACACACACCCAAAGUAAGCUAUCUUAGCUUAGUAAAUUGUAAGCAAUUUAAACAAUUUAAAAGACAUUGAUAGUCGAAUUAUAUAACCGAGUCAUACUUCCAUAAUCUCAUAUUCAUCCAAACUUAUUAGUCCAUAUAUCUAUCAAUCAUUCACAUAUAAUUUCCAACAUUUUCCAAUAUACAUAUACUCUUUCACAUAACUACUCAUCAUUUCCAAUCUCAGAUUUUCAUAAUUAGCCGAAUGUUCAUAUGCAAUUAAAAUAAAUAAUCAAACAUCAUAACAUGCAUAUAAUAUAUCAAUUCAUUCCUUUUCACUCAUUCAUCUUUCAUUUUACUAUUCUUCCAUACAUUUCACAUUUGCUACAACCAACACCAUAAUUCCAAAUUCAAUAAUAUCAACCACACAGGUUUGAUACAUACCUGCAUAUUACGAAUUUAAAUAUUCCACUUAAUACUUUUGCAUUUGAUAAAUAACUCAUUCGCCAACUUUCGAUCACUUGUUGUAUUCACACACUUAGCACACUUAGUGCUCGAUAGUUUUACUUCGCACACUUAAUGCUCGAUAAUUUUACUUUGCACACUUAGUGCUCGAUAAUUCACAUAUAUAUAUAUCCAUUCAUGCCUAUUCAAAACAUUUACUUUCAGCAUAAUUAACAUUUUGCACUUUCCAAAUCAGCAUGUAUAUACGUAUAUAUAUAAAUUGCAUUUAUAUAAGUCAACAACAAUUAUUUACUUUGUAACUUACCUCAAAUAUCGACUGACUAUAUUUUUCGACUAUUCGACUAUUUUCGCCUUUCCCCGAUCCAAACCCGAUCCUCUUUGCUCUUGAUCUAUUAAAAAUUCAAAUUGAACUCAUUCAGAGAAAAUUUUAUUAAAUUACCUCCCAAACUCAUAAUCAAGCAAAUUACCAAUUUUCCCUUCACUUUGUACAUUUUUACAUUUUAAUCCAAUAUAACAAAAACAUGAAACAUCAAAAAAAUUCCAACCUAACUUACUUAGGCCGAAUAUUCCUUAAGUUUAAAUAAAUCCUUCCUUUUAAUCUAUUUCGAAAUUUAGCUCCUCAAUUUAUCAACUAAGCAAAUAAGCCCUAUUUAGUUAAUUUCAUGCAAACUUCUAGUAUAAAAUUCAAUAAUAUAACACAUCUCUUCUAUUAUGCAACUUCAAACUAAUUUUUUUUUCAAACCUUUAUCCAUGGCCGAAUACCAUUUCCUUACCAAUUCUAAAAAUUAAACUAUGGGUUAACUAAGCAACUUAUCAAUCAUCAGAAAUGUGCAAAAUUUUUAAAAAUUAAACUCAGACAUACCUUUAAAUUAAACUAGUCAAGGGCCGAAUGCAAGGAAUCUAUUUCUUUCUUUUGCUUGGCUAUCUAUGAUUUUUCCAAAGAUGAAAACUCCACCACUUCCUAUUUUUCUAAGUUAAUGUGAUAAUAUAAUUAUUAAGUUACCAAAAUAGCCAUUAUAAAAUUAUGCUAUUUCCACUAUCUAAUGACCAAUUGUGUCCAUGCAUGAUUCUUGGUUUAAUAGCAUUUUAACUCCCCCAACAUAAAAGACCAUUAACAAUUUAGCAUUCACACAUAAUUCAUCAAAUUUUACCUAUUGUGCAUUUACACCCAUUCUUUAUAAUUCGGCAUCUAAACAGAAAAAUUAAGAUAUGAAACUUUCAUGGAUAUCAAUUCACACAUAACUAAUACAAAAAUUUAAUUUAAAACAUUUUUUUAUUCAGAUUCGUGGUCCCGAAACUACCAUUUUGAUUAGGGUCAAAAUCGGGCUGUUACAACUCUACCCCCUUAAGGAUUUUCGUCCCCGAAAAUCUUACCGAUGAAUAGGUUUGGGUAACGUUCUCUCAUUGAAUUUACAAGUUCCCAAGUUGCUUCCUCGACACCAUGCUUAUUCCAAAGUACUUUCACCAAUGAAAUUUUCUUAUUUCUAAACUCUUUCUCUUCGCGAGCUAGAAUACGGAUAGGUUCUUCCCCAUAAGUUAAAUCGGACUGAAUCUGAAUCUCGGAAGGGCUAAUCAUAUGAGAAUGAUCGGAUCUAUAUCGUCGAAGCAUCAAAACAUGGAAAACAUAGUGAAUCUUUUCCAACUCAGGUGGUAACAUCAAUCGGUAAGCAACUGGUCCUAUACACUUAGUAAUCUCAUACAGUCUAUUAAAUCUCGGACUCAACUUCCCCUUGCGACCAAAUCUAAGAAUUUUCUUCCAUGGUGAGACUUUCAAAAAUACUCGGUCACCAAUCUGAAACUCUAUAUUUUUACGUUUCAAAUCCGCAUAAGAUUUCUGACGAUCUGACGCUGCUUUCAAAUUUUGACGGAUCACUUUUACUUUCUGUUCAGUUUCUUUAAUCAAAUCAACCCCGUGUAUCUUAUUUUCACUUAGCUCGGUCUAGUACAAAGGUGUACGACAUUUACAAUCGUACAAAGCUUCGUAAGGUGCCAUUUUGAUAUUUGACUGAAAACUAUUGUUGUAUGCAAAUUCAAUCAAGGACAAGUAUCUUUCCCACGUACCCUCAAACUCGAGAACACAACAUCUCAACAUAUCUUCGAGUAUUUGGAUGAUUCAUUCGGACUGGCCAUCCAUUUGGGGGUGAAAUGCAGUUUAGUACCUAAAGCAUCUUGCAGUUUCUUCCAAAACUGUGAUGUAAACCUCAGAUCUCUACCCGAAACUAUAGAAAUAGGUACUACGUGUAAUCGCACAAUCUAUGAUAUGUACAAUUCGGCUAGCUUAUCGAGUGAGUAAUAUGAACAGACAGGAAUGAAGUAGGUCGAUUUCGUCAAUCUAUCAACAAUCACCCAAAUUGCAUUCUUCUUGCUCGGUGUCAACGGUAAACCCGAAACAAAGUCUAACGUGACUCGGUCCCAUUUCCAUUCAGGUAUCAUAAUCGGCUGAAGUAAUCCAGAAGGCACCUGAUGCUCAGCUUUCAUUUGUUGACAUACUAAGCAUUUUGAAACAAAGUCAGAAAUGUCUCGUUUUAUACCAUGCCACCAAUAAUGCUGUUUCAAGUCGUUAAACAUUUUCGUGCUACCUGGAUGAACAGACAUCCGACCGUUAUGAGCUUCGUUUAAAAUCAUAUGUAUAAGCUCUAAAUUUCUCGAAACACAUAGUCGGUUAUUUAAUCUUAAACAAUCAACCGCAUCAAUUAGAAACUCUGAGUUAGCCUUUAAGCCACAUUGAGCCCGUUUUGCAACUAAAUCACCAUCAACUUUUUGAGCUUCUCGAAUCUGCUGCACAAGUAACGUUUUAUCUUAAAUUCAGCUACUAACGCACCAUCUACAGUUAUAGCCAAAUGCGCAUUCAUCGCACACAAAGCAAACAGUGAUUUUCGACUUAAGGCAUCAGUAACAACAUUAGCCUUCCUGGGAUGAUAAUCAACCACAAGCUCGUAAUCUUUAAGUAAUUCUAGCCACCGACACUAUCUCAAAUUAAGAUCCUUUUGAGACAUCAAGUAUUUAAGACUUUCGUGAUCGGUAUAGACGUGGCAUUUUUCACCGAGCAAAUAAUGGUGCCAAAUCAUUAAAGUGAAUACGAUAGCAGCUAGUUCAAGAUCAUGCGUCGGAUAGUUUUUCCCAUGAGGCUUUAACUGUCUCGAGGCAUAAGCUACAACUUUGCCUUCUUGUAUUAAGACGCAACCCAAACCAUUCAAAGACGCAUCACUGAAAAUCACGAAUUCUUUACUCGACUCUGGUUGAACUAGCACAGGAGCUUCGGUCAAAAGUACUUUCAACUGGUCAAAACUUUUCUGACAUUUUUGUAACACCCCAAACCCGGCCCAAACGUUACGGCCGAAUUUAGUAUGUCACAUGGAGAUGUUUAAAAAAACAUGUGUUUAUCUAAAUUCUUUGUUUAGAGUUUAGCAAAAAUCUGUUCUUGUUUUAUGUUAAAGUGAAUGGAAGCUGUGCACCAGGUAGGAAGCCAGAAAAGAGGAGGUGAGUCUUAUAGGACCGCUUAAGUACCUAGCUCUUCCCGGAUCCAAUCCUAGACAUGCCCACAUCUAUUGCCACACUUUAAGCAGGUUACGUGUCUACGAACAUUAAAACGAGUUUAAGUCUGCUUAAAAUAUUUAUUUUUUUUGGAAAAACAUUUACUUUGCGGAAACUUUGCGCGUCAUCGUGAUCUUUUAAAAACAAGUAGCUUUUAUAAAACGAACCCUAGUGCUAACCAGUUUAAUAAUCCCCAAAAUAAAAUUAGUUAAAAAGAGCGGCCUUAUUACAACUUUAACUAUAAUAAAAAUAAUCUAAAAUAAUGCUAAACUUAUUUAAAACCGGCAAUCAAUCUUCAUGGCCACUCUGAAUCCCGCCCAGCUCCAAGUCCACCAACUAGGGCUCACCUGCAAGGAUGGAAGAGGAAGGGGUGAGUUUGGAAACUCAGUGCAUACAGAAACCCAUCCAAAGCCCAAAUCAGCUCGAGCCCAUUGGGCCUAAGCCCUAUUCAGAUAACAGUACACAGUGGACCGAAGCCCUUUUCAGAAUACAGUAGCAAAGCCUUAGCCCCUUUUUACAUAACAGUGUGGCCCAUAGGCCCAGUUCAGUAACAUAGGUAACAAUAGUAGUAAUGCAUGCAAACCCAUCUGGGGAGACUACUCAACCCACCAACCGCUACACUGCCCCCGUACCAGCCCUACACUCCAUGUGGGGAACAUCUCAACCCACCCAGCCCUACACUCCACAGUUGCAGCAACGCUGCUCAAAUAUCAGUAAGUUGAGGCAAAGCCUCCAGUACGUGGAUGAACCACUUUCAAUACUUCCUCCAUCAAUACCCCAAUCCCAUGCAACAGAUAUUAAUAAAAGCAUAUCAUGUAAAAUACAGUAUUAAUCAAUCAUGCAGUUUAGCCAAUUUAAACCCUAGGGGUAUAUCGAUAAUUUUACUCUUUAGGGGUAAUUCUCGUAACUUAGCAACUACACAAGCUACUUCAGUAAUUUUCAACAGUUUUAUGCAGUUUGGUUGCACCAUCUAACUAACAGGCUAAUUUUCCCAUCUCUUACCCAUAUUGGUCCGUAAGCCCAUUGGGCCCAGUUUUGGCCCAUCGAGGCCCUCUUUUUCCGAAGUACGUUAAGACGUCACGCAAACUUACUUACCACCUUGCGGUGCUAGAUCUAACAAUUACUCUACGUCUUGAGAGCAUUCGCAUACUCACACGUCCAUGAAAUACCGAAAUUUUGGCUUUUUCCGAAUUGAACUAAGAAAGGGUGUUCGGUACACACCUGAUUCGCGACGACUGCUACUGAGAUCUCUUCCGAUGUCCUACAAUUGAUUAGCAUAGUUCUUAUUUACAAACCAUAAUCACUAAACCCAAAAACUUACUCAUCCAAGACCGAGCCAUGUCCCUAAAAACCUUUAAAACCUUACCUCUGCAAAAAACCGAUAGCUAGCUCCGAAUCUGAUUGCCCCAAGGAACCACGCCUUCUCCAACGUUUAAGUAAACACUAAUCAUUGACAGAAAACAUUGGUUAAAGACCUUAGAGAGCCAAAGGCCCAAAUCGACAGCCUCCCUAUAGUUUAGGGACCUCGGCUUUUCCUAACUUGUAAAAAUAAGACCAGAUCUGAGAUAAUAAGCACUUACCCCUUGUUCUUUCUCGAUUUCCACUCAAUCCAGUGUAGAUUUAUCCCUAAAACAACGGUAGAACCCGAAUCCAGGAGUUGAAGAAAUUUCGGCUAUAGCCCCUAAAGCUAUGGUAUUUCGGCUUUUGGUGCAGAAGGAGACGACAAUAUGAAACUAUAACCUGGAUGUAGAAUUGUCGACAGGUCUCUAGAGUUUAGAAAGAAUAAACGUUGAUUAAUGGAAACACAAUGUUAAAGGGUUUGGCUUUGAAGAAAUCGGUACCAGUAAUGUGUGUUCAAGAUUUUGACUUUUAUGGAUUCGGCAAAAGUAUCGAUGAACAGCAGAAUUGAUGAAUGGUUUUGAAGAAGAAAAACAGAAAAAGAAGAACAGGGGAAGUGGUAGUUUCGGCUAGAGAGGAAGAAGAGAGAAAAGAAAAACCUUGUGAUGUCUGAGCAGAAAAGAACGUCACCACUCAAUACCCUAGGUGCCGAAAUACUAACCUCAUAACCUUCUGCCGAUUUUUCCCUCUUCAAUUCCCAAAAUUCAGCCAACUCCUAGCCUCUCUCCCAAUCCCUUAAAUCUCUCCCCUUAUCACUCCUUAAUCCAAGCGUUUGGACAGAUUCAAACUCUCCUUUAGCAGACUCCACCUGGACUCCAACACUACCCCUCCUGCACUUAAAAAUAAAUGCAUCUAUUUGUCAACACAGGGAAUCGAUCCCAUGCCUUCCUCAAUGCUCCACACGCCACCUUUUUAGGAGCCUAGUGGCGUCACCCUUGCCACUUUACUAAGGCUCUUUUUGUGAUACAAUUUACCCAUAACUCUAUACAAGGACCACCUAGCCAGAACCCCUAACUCCUAAGUCCAAAAUUCAAAAAUUCAACCGGGUUUUGGCCAACACAUGGGCCUUCUAUAAGCCCAUUUACCUACUCAAAAUAUUAAUUUUACAUCCAAAUACAAAAUUUUAAAAUCUUUCCAAAAUAUUGAAAACCGCGAAUAAAUCCGAAAAUCAGGAUGUUACAACUCUACCCUCCUUAAAGAAAUUUCGACCUCGAAAUUUUACCUUAUUAGAACAGUUGAGGGUACUGUUGACGCAUAGCCUCCUCAGUCUCCCAAGUAGCUUCUUCUUUGCCAUGGUUCCUCCAAAGUACUUUCACUAGUGGAACUGAUUUCCUUCUCAACACAUUGACGUCACGAUCAAGUAUCUGCACAAGUUCCUCUUCAAAAGUUAAAUCUGACUGUACCUCGAUUUCUGCAACUGGUAUUAUGUGAGUUGGGUCAGAUCGAUACCGCCUCAGCAUGGAUACAUGAAAAACGUUGUGGAUACGAUGCAGUUCUGGUGGUAACUCUAGCUGAUAAGCCACUGGUCCAACCCGCUUAACAAUUCGGUAAGGCCCAAUAAACCGUGGGCUUAACUUACCCUUCUUACCAAAUCUCAAAAUUUUCUUCCAGGGGGAAACCUUCAAGAAAACCAUAUCCCCAACAGCGAACUCAAUCUCUUUGCGCUUCAGAUCCACAUACGACUUCUGUCUAUCGAAUGCCUCCUUUAACCGAUCCCUUAUUAGCCUAACCUUGCUUUCAGUGUCUGCCACCAAUUCCGGCCCAAGCACUCGUCGUUCACCCAACUCUGUCCAACACGUCGGCUUAGCAAAUCUUCACCCAUAGAGCGCUUCAUAUGGUGCCAUCUGAAUACUUACUUGAUAGCUGUUAUUGUAAGCAAACUCCGCCAAUGGCAAGUAGUCCUCCAAACUUCCAUGAAAAUCAAUGAUACAACCUCUCAACAUAUCUUCCAGAACCUGAAUAACCCUUUCUGACUGUCCAUCUGUCUGUGGGUGAAAAGCGGUGCUAAAAUCCAAUCGUGUACCCAACGCUUCCUGCAACUUCCGCCAAAACCGAGAUGUAAACCUAGGGUCUCGAUCAGAAAUUAUCGAC
Molecule: long non-coding RNA, 84836 nt
Filed under: Gossypium barbadense (sea-island cotton)
Lineage: Eukaryota; Viridiplantae; Streptophyta; Magnoliopsida; Malvales; Malvaceae
Description: long non-coding RNA (GBAR_LNC009006)
Rfam family: Plant small nucleolar RNA R71 (bases 57512-57619)
Source: RNAcentral